Molecule: long non-coding RNA, 68452 nt
Filed under: Malus domestica (apple)
Lineage: Eukaryota; Viridiplantae; Streptophyta; Magnoliopsida; Rosales; Rosaceae
Description: long non-coding RNA (MDOM_LNC020038)
Source: RNAcentral
AGGGAGAAGGCGGAUUCAAACGGAAUGGUGAAGGUUAAGGAAAAAGACACCAAGUCAAAGGCAAGCGAAUUGUUGUUGAGGAGGAAGGCGAUCCACACGACCAACAAGGCGGCUUAGAGAUACGAGUGCGACGCUGAUUAUCGCUUUUUGCACGACUGUGUUUCGGAUAAUUUUGCCCAGUGCCUCAAGUUUGAUAUUGAAAAAUUCAUCAUCACAAGGACCAUGACCAUCAUGAUGAUUACUGCUUGCAGAUUACCCAAGCAGCUACCUAUUUGCCUACCAUCGCUGAUCAUUGCAAUGAAGGUUUUCCCGCCAGAAUCAUGCCUCCGAGAAGGGGAUGGUAGUGUUUGUUGUAUUGACCGACUGAGGAAGGAGGUUUUGUUGCCCUUGAGAAAAACUAUGGCGCCAUAGGGCUGGGAACCUUCCAACCGGUGGGGUUAUAGAGCGAAGAACAAGCGAGAGCAACUGGCUCCAGCCAAUGAGAUUGAUCCUGACGAUGCAGCGCUGCUUCCGCUGACGAUGCAGCGCUGCUUCCACAUGACAUAUUAAGUUAUAUCAAGUAUCCUGAGCUCGAGCAAGAAGCUAAUAUUAAGUGGAAGAAAAUGAUGGAGGUCUACUCAAAGCAGGGGAAGUUGAAGAAUUGGUUAGCUGUAUGUUGUCGACAACACCUUGUUGGUGAGUUUGGCUUUGGGGCUUUUGUUGCCUCAAUUGAGUGACGAGCGAUGGAAGGGAAAUGUGGUCACCUAAAGCAAAAACCUUUAGCUGCAUUCGAUACAAGGCGAUGAUCUUAAUUCGAGGGCCGAAUAUUAUGCAGACUUUGAUCAAAAGCCAGGACUGGACGGCUGAUUUCAAGAAGGUGUUCGAUGUGAUUCUAGAAGAGGUAGUGAAUGCGAAUUUGAAGCCAGAUAAGAUGGUCAAGAAGGUGCUCGCCUUGACCACAUACAAACACUUCUUGACAGGCAGCAACCUCAGCUUCUGGGGGGAGACUAAGAUGUCUCCCUUUCUUCUUCUAGUUUCUGCUACUACUUUCACUUCUCCAAAGCUCUCAUUCUUUCUUUGAGUUCUGAUGAUACUAAGAGAGAGUAUAUAUGUAAUUAAUACUUUUGCAGAGAAGAGCAAAGUGAGUGACGAGAACUAAAAAAGUGGGACUGGAAAACGGUAGGCUUAUAACGUUCAAAUUCUAAUGGUCACUUUUAGUGUAGGCAAUGGAAACGAAUAAAAUGUGGGGCCUAGACUUGCUGCCUCAAGUGAUCUGGCACUGGCACUUCCAAAUGUAAAGAAAAAAGGCACAAAGACAACUAGAUGAGCACCAUAGCCUUAAACAGGUUGAUCUUGCUUUGGAAUUGUUUAUUGAUCCGAGGUUAUUUUUCAACUGAGAUUUGCUUUGGUGAGCAUGAACUUCCCUACAUUUUGGUUUUACUCGGGCCCCACUGUUGAGGCCACUCAUGUGAGAAAGGUGACACUUGCAUAGCAAUUUAACCAAAGAUUUUCUUCAGGUGACACUGAUCGACCAACAAUUCAUAAUCAUUCAUGUAAAAAAGUUGGCUUAUGCAAAAACACUACCAAAGAGUCACAUUAGGGUGACACCGUAAUGAAUCAACAAUUGACAAUAACUCAUCUAGAGCCAACUCGUGGCUUUUGUUUAUAGGCAUCUACUAAGAUUGCUUAUGUUUUAUUAUACCUACUUGGGUAUCAGAUAGAAAAGGGUGGUGCUAUUCACACCUAUUUUACCUCCACCCACUCUUCUCAAUUUUCGACCGUCGGAUCGAAUGAAUUAAAAAAGACCAAAAGACAAAAAUUACCAAAAAAAUGUGUGAGAAAUUAAAAUGGGUGUGUGAAUAGCACCAACUAUUGAAAAAGAAACAUCCAUUAUUUUCCUUUUGAUUAAAAGUGGAGAUUUACACCGCAACAUACUACCACAAAAUUGACAUGUAAGUUUUACUCAAGGGCAAGUACAUCGGUGCACAAAAGGAUAAAAGGCGUGCAUAAAUCAUUUCCCAUUAUUUAUCACCUUCCUUCUCUAAUAAUGCCAGCGAGCAGUGAUUGAGUGAUGUUUACUGGAGAAGGCGCAAGGUCAACCACGGGGGGUGUUAGCACCACUUGUAUAGCCUUCAGGCUCAUAGUUGAGGCGGUCAUUACUAUGCUUGGAUGCAGUUGAUGGGGUAUCAUCCUUCAUCAAAAAGCUACAUGUUGACAAUGUCGUUACAUCUUUAAAAUCAUAAUAUGUCAAAUAGCUCGGCUUCGUCAUGAUAGUGCCUAUGUCAAUAUCUUCAGAGAGCAUUGCCACCACGCGUGACAUAUAUGGCCUCGUCAUUGGUGAUGCCUGUGUGCACAUGAGAGCUACUCUUAUCAGUCUAGUCGCUUCAGUUUCGUCAAACUCUGUCAAUCUCGGAUCCACCAACCCCAUAAUUUGGUCAUUUUCAUGUAGAGUCCAUGUAUGAAAAACAUUAUGCCAUGGUCCAAGGAAAGGGUGAAUAAGUUUUUCACAACAAUGCCAAAAUAAAGCUAGGGGAAUGCAAUUCCUACCCAUUCAAGAAGAUAAAUCUCUUAUGGAUCUAAGUUAUUGUCAGAGUUUGGUCUCCCGCUGGGGAUCUCCAAAAGCAACGGCUCCAAAACCAAACACAUCAGCCUUCUUUAUCAAAUGUCCACGCAUUGCAUACUUGGGUGCCAAAUAGCCUCUGCAAUGCAAUAAUCAAAUUGUUGUACAAUGUUUCUUUAGAUCAUGAGUGGCAUUAUUAACAUGAUUUGUGUUAAAAUUUCAUGCAAGUAUAAAUGUGUGGCUAUAAUAUAUGUAUCUUGUGGAAAAAUAAUAAAGGAUGGCUUACAUUGUCCUUGCAACCCAGGUGCUGAUGUGGGUUUUCUCGCCAUCAUAAAGCUUUGCCAAUCCAAAAUCUGAUAUUUUUGGGGGGAGUUCUGCAUGAAGCAAAAUAUUAAUGGCUUUGACAUCUCGAUAUAGAAUCCUUGGCCUUGACUCCUCAUGGAGGUAAGCAAGUUCUCUUGCUGUUCCCAACAAUAUAUUGAAUCAAGUAGGCCAACCAAGGUGCAAGUUACUUGUCUCUGAAAUAUUAGUGAACACGUCCAAUCAAAAUCAAGGCUCAUUUUAUAGACCCAAAAAGGCAUUUUCUUCUUUAUUAUGCAACUGGACCAUCAACAUCAAGGCUCAAUUUAUAGACCCAAAAAGGCGUUAUUAAAUUAUCUGAAUUCCCUGAACACAUUCUUAAUUUUUAGUGGUGGGAUCUCCAUCAAGUGGUGGUGGUUCAUGAACAUAUCUAUAAACAUUGUGUAUGAAUAAGUAGGAUAUACAUCCAUCUGCUAAGGUAUAUUCAAAUCUGGCAUGCCAGUCCCUGCCCACUACCAAAAGCCAAAGCUAAAUUACAAUUACAAUUAAUUAUUAAAAUGUGUAUUAUAUAAAAGGAAAGGGUCCAAAACAAGUACAAGGGUGCACAAAGGGGUAAAAAGAACAUGCGAAAAUCAUUUCCCGAUAUUUAUCACCUUCCUUCUCCUCUAAUGCUAGCGAGCAGUGAUUGAGUGACGUUUACAGAAGGUGUAGGGUCAAUCCAGGGAGUGUUAGCACCAUUUGCAUUGCUGCCUCCCGACUAAUAGUUGAGGCGAACAUUACUACCCUUGGAUGAAGUUGAUGGGGUAUCAUCCUCCACCAAAAAUCUACUUGUUAACGAUGUUGUUACAUCUUUAAAAUCAUAAUCUGUCAAAUAGCUUGGCUUCGACAUGACAGUGCUUAUGUCAAUGUCUCCAGAGAGCAUUGCAACCACACGUGACAUAGAUGGCCGUGCCAUCGGUGAUCCCUGCGUGCACAGGAGAGCUGCUCUUAUCAAUCUAGUUGCUUCAGUUUCAUCGAACUCUAUUAAUCUCGGAUCCAUCAGCCCCAGAGUUUGGUCGUUUUCAUGUAGAGUCCAUACCUGAAAAACAUUAUGCCACUGUCAAAGGAAAGUAUAAAUAAGUUUUUCACAACAAUGCCUAAAUGAAGCUAGGCGAAUGCAAUUCCUACCCAUUCAAGAAGAUAAAUCUUUUCUGGAUCCAAGUUAUUGUAAGAGUUUGGUCUCCCGCUGAGGAUCUCUAAAACGACGACUCCAAAACCAAACACAUCGGCCUUCUCUGUCAAAUGUCCAAACAAUGCAUACUCCGGUGCCAAAUAGCCUCUGCAAUGCAAGAUAAUCAAAUGGUUGCACAAUGUUACUUAAGAUCAUUAGAGGCAUUAUUAACAUGUGUGAAAAUUUCAUGCAAGUAUAAAUGUGUGUGGCCAUAAUGUAUGUAUCCUCUGGAAAAACAAUAAAGGAUGAUUUACAUUGUCCCUGCAACUCGGGUGCUGAUGUGGGUUUUCUUGUCAUCAUAAAGCUUUGCCAGUCCAAAAUCUGAUAUUUUUGGGGAAAGUUCUGCAUCGAGCAAAAUAUUACUCGCUUUGACAUCUCGAUGUACAAUCCUUGGCCUUGACUCCUCAUGAAGGUAAGCAAGUCCUCUUGCUGUUCCCAACAAUAUAUUGAAUCGAGUAGGCCAGUCAAGGUGCAAGUUACUUGUUCCUGAAAUAUCAGUGAACACAUCCAAUCAAAAACAUUUCUUAACAAUUUUAGAGUGCUUGAAACUGCAGACAAUGUUGUUUCUAUGCAACCUAAAAGUAGAUAGGUUUGUACCAAAAAGUGCCUGAUCAAGGCUCUUGUUUUCAAGAUACUCAUAAACCAAAAUGUGGUGGCUGCCUUCAAUGCAGCAUCCAUACAAUUUCACUAGAUUCCGAUGUUGCACAGCAGAUAUGGUAGCAAUUUCAGAUACAAAUUGACUCUUCCCUUGGUGAGAUGCUACUGAAAGUUGCUUCACAGCCACUACUCUACCAUCAGAAAGUGUACCCUACAAUGUACACAGAAACACAAUUUAGUGACGUGAAGGGAAAGAAAACAGAAGCUAUAUGUUCUUUUCUCGCUCUCUCUCCUUUCUCUUGUCAUUACUUCAAGUACAUGAUAUUGAUGUAAUAAGGAUUUCACCUUAUAAACGGGGCCAUAUCCUCCCUCUCCUAGCUUAUUUGAAAGAUUAAAAUCUUCGGUUGCAGCUCUUAAUUCAGCAUAACUAAAAGUAUAUGGCCAGGGGCCUAAUCCUAGAAUAUCUGCACAUUCACAAAACAGUAUGACAUAAGUUUUACUUCAGUGAAAGCCUUCUUACUUUUGUGUGUUAAUGUCAGAGCAAAGAAACCUGAAUUGGGUACCAGUAAUGAUAUGGUCGUUUACCUUCAUCGUCUUCUUUUUCUGUUUUUUUCCUCCUCAUAAAUAGAAUCGCAAAUAUUAAUAGCAAGCUCACAACUCCAACAAGAACUGCAAUACCGACUAUCAACCCAGCCUUGCUCUUCUUUGUAAAAUCUAAGUGAUAAAAGAGACGAAUUCUUCAAUGUCAAUUAACAGCAUAAAAAUACAUUUAAACCACUCACAGGAAAUCUCUAUAAGUUAUCAGAUACUAUACCUGAAGAAGCAUGGACAGCUGCUAUUAGUGGGCCGUAAUGACCAUAAUCGGGUAUGCAACAAGUCCCUUUACCAGCCCAGAACAGAUGAAUUUCAAGAUAAUUCUCUGACAUGCUAACAUUAAAUUUUCUCACAACUGCUCGGUUAACACCACCUGCCUCCUUCGAUAUGUCAAAGUCCUUCGUCCUGCGGGUACCCUAGCAACCAAAUGAAGAGGUAGGUGAUAAUUCUAUUCUCCUUUAAAUCACUGUCUUUAGUUAAUGUAGCUUAAAACAUCGAAAACCUGUCCAAUGAGGUGUUUACUUCAAAUAAGUUAAAAUUUUUAUUCUAUAAGCAGUCUUACCUGGAUAUAGAUAUCAAAUACACGCCGUCCUAGACUUUGCCAAGUUUGCGAAGUGCGACUUUCAUAAACCGUCUCUGCAAAGUGCAAUGUUACAGUGUAGGGCCCAUUCUCAAGGCCCAGGCCAUAGUAUCUCAGUGAUCCUGUGGACACUCUUGAAGUCUGGAAAAGCUCCGGGGUCACGUCUGUUCCGGUGACUUGUGCAUGGGUAUUUACCAACGAUGGGGUAUUUUCCCGAGACGAUGAGGGGGACGAUGAGGGAUAUUGGUCAGAAAACAAACCGGCAUUGCUGACUGCCCAAUUCUCUGCACUGGUUACACUGAAUGUUGCUGAGCCAAGAACUGAUUCAUCAGUCUCAUACAAUAUGCCAUCUCCCUUCAUUUGCUGUCCACCACAGUUGAUUGAGAAGCUUGCAUCUGUAAAGUUUCAUGUAAUACGAGAAUCUACCCAUGAUUAGCGAUGAAACUUCAAAUUGAAGACUCAUACUAAUGUUCUUCAGUCACAUAUUUCUAACCAGUUAUGCAUAUUACUGAACUUAUGAAAACAUGCUUGCAAUCUAUACCCAUAUGUAUACAUAACUAGAGAAGCAAUGCCUUUUCCUGUAACAUGAUGUUGCGUUAAAAUAGUAAAUGAUGGGUGACAUAAGAGCAGAUUACAUCGUGGGGUAUUUCGAUUGCAUGGAAAAUUUCUCUGGAGGCAAUUCAAUCCACGAAGACUGCAAACACAGAGAACAAUUAUUAGUUAUCCAAAUAGAAUCAUGUAGUGGAAGAGUAGUGAUGGUAUUGCUUGUCUAAAACGAGUAAGAGAAACUUCAACUCACGUUAUGUUUGAACUGUCAAAUGUGAAGUUGUUGACCACUAAGUUCCUGCAUAAAAUCAUUAAUCAAUCAACAUAUGAAGAACUAUAUCUUUAUCAAAUGAAAAUUCCAUGUACAAGAUCAAAACUUAGUAGGCAAGUAGCACUGUGAAAACGAAUCUCAGCGAUAAUUUUUUGUCCGAACAUAUUUUGGUGAUUUAAACUGUAGAAUGAAGAUGAAAGAUAAAAUGACACGUACACUUGCGAUAUAUUGGUCACCCACUGGGGAAAGCUUCCUGAUAAAAAAUUGUAAGACAAAUCUCUGCAAAUAACAAAAUAAAAUCAGAGGACACAAAAUGCAUGAAAGUUAUUAAGAGCUUGUGUAAGAUAGGAUUAGAAUGCUUAUGGUUAUACACAAACACAUACAUGCACCGUGCAUUCUAUAUGACUACUUUAAGAAACGAGGACUUACAUGGUCUGAAGUUGAUCGCUCUUUUGGUUCAGAAGAGGUCCGGAGAGACUAUUGUUUCCAAGAAACCUGGCCAUUUUGAUUAUAGUAGAAAGGCACCCAGAAAAGAAAAGGAGAUGAACAAACAAAAGGGAAUGUUAAAGAUUUGAUAACUUAUGCAUGAUAAGGCAAGAAAAAGAUAAUAAUAAAGACGGGGAUUACAAGGAUUCAAGAGAACUCAAGUUGAACAAAGAACUUGGGAGUUGGCCUGUCAAAUUGUUGAAACUCAGAUCCCUGCACACCAACGAUAAGUUGAGAGGAGCAAUCAGAAUGAAAGAAGACAAAUUGGUCUCGUUGGGACUCAAGCUUAUAUUUGCUGGUACGUACAGUGUCUCUAGACUUUGAUAUUCUCCAAUAUUAGAUGGGAUGGUACCAGUGAUUAAUGCGUUUCGUAGUUUUCUGUAUUCCAAAAACAUAAAAUUUGAUAAAAAGAAGAUGGGGUAAGAUAUCAAAUUUCAAAAUGAAAAAGAAGUUAGAUGAAAGUAUCUGGAUUGAUGAGAAUCUUCACUUACAAUUCAGUCAAGUUUUUCAGAUUUUUUAUGAAAUCAAGAGAGGAGCUCCCAUUGUAUAUAUCACUGAUUCGCCUACAUCAUUAUAUGCAAAAUAAACUGAAAUCCCAUCUUCGGAGAAAGAGAGAGAAUUACAAUUUAUGAACAUUUGUACUUACAGAGAGUUCAAUGAGGUCAGUUGAGAAAAGCUGGUUGGUAUUGGGCCUUCGAAAGAGUUCCCUUGAAAUUGCCUACAGAAACAUAUAAGACACUUGUGAACAAAUUAUCCACCUCGGGCCUGCUUUCAUAAACUGCAAAAGAUCAAAGGUUUCUCUACUUACAAAUCAGUGAGUUGUGUCCAAUUCCCUAUGAAAUCAGGUAUCUUUCCUGAGAAAGGACUGUCCGAUGCCCAGCUAAAAUUCAAAAAGUGGACUUAUACUAAAGCUCAUCCAAGAAAAGCAAUCUCAAAGUACUGGAUAAACGAACAAAUCUAAAAUACGAUUUAAGAGCCAUUCUUACAAGACUUGCAUGUUGGUGAGCUUGGCAAAUGUUGAAGGAAUUUCACCACCGAGUCCACAGCUGUCCAUGUAACUGUGAAAAUCAUAAGGCAAUUGAUGAGUACCCAUUUCAUACGAUAAAGCGCAACUUUUGCUCAUUCGUAAGGAAUUAACAUGUAAUUCAAAUUUGAUGAUUUAACGAAGCACUUACAGUCGCUCGAGCUUGACUAAAUUACCAAGUUCUGGAGGGAGUGUUCCGGAGAAAUUAUUUGAUGCGAUGCUCCUGCAAGUCAUGUUGAACAGGCAAACACUUACUUGAAAGCAAAUAUUGAAGAGUGAUAGAAGGUUCUGUAUCUAAUGUUUACGAUACAAAAUUUUAUUGUAUGCUCUCUAAUUUUUCAGGGCUUACAGCAUAGUUAGCUCCAAAAGGUUUCCAAGUUCCUUGGGGAUGGACCCUGAGAAUGAAUUUCUGCUAAUUGUCCUGAAUGGAGAUAUCAGUUAGUGAAAGAUAAGCACCAUUAAACUUAAUUACAUUACAUAACAGGAAACUAGUAUUGCAUUAUUCAAUAAAAGCAUAAUGAUUUUUUGUAGAUUACGGCAUAAAUAGUAGCGAAAAGGUGUAAAGAACAUAACUGUAGAUUAUGAUAUUCAAAAUCAAGUAUACAAAUUCCUAUGGGUCUCAUCAGAAGUAUGAGUACUUAAAGAAAUGUUCUCUCACUACUUACAAUUCAGUCAAUGCGGACAUAUUGCCAAUGAAUGCUGGUAGGGGACCGGUGAAAUAAUUAUGAUCGAUAUACCUACAAAAAUUGAAAGGAAUGUAAUCGUUAACUCUUAAUCUUACAACAUCACCAUAUUUUUGUUGAAAUCCCACAUCGGCUAGAGAAAUAAAGAAAGAAGAGUUUAAAUAUCCAAAUCCCACUCCAACUAAUGCUGAGGCAUUUUUGAGAUAAACCUCACACCUGACGGAUUGUGCAGGUGGUAAUUACCAAUUUGGAGACAAUAUCGGUGUUGUUGGAAGUGAGUCUUUGACUCCUCUCUCUGAUAAUUCUACAAUUUUUAAUAUCCAAUGGAUAAUAUGAACGAAAAACAGAGAAAGGAGUUGGAAAAAAAUUCAUACAAAUUUGCGAGAUAUCUUAGAUCCAAAAAUUCUUCUGGAAACACCCCUCGUUUGUUAAGACCAUACACACUCCUGGAAAGCAAAAAGAUUGAACAUUUAGAACUACAUAAAAUGGAGCGACACAGUCAAAUUAUGACAUCAAUAUAUAGGUAACAAGUGAAAAAUCAGCAGUGGCACGGAAAUCUUGUUCAUAAAGAGAGUAGUUUAACAUACAGUUUGGUGAUGUGGCAUGUAGCAUUGUUGUCGUAAGUACAGUUGCAAACGACGGCUGCGCUGUUAUCGGGGAAGUUAAAUUCGGUGCCGUUGAUGGCAGAUCCACUGCAGGGUUCUCCACUGAUAUUCCACAGCCCCGGCGCUGCUUGUGUGUCCCAUUGUUCAAAUAUUGAGUUCAACGCCCUCACUGCACUCUCAGUUAAUUCAGUCAUUGUGUGUAUUAGGUUAUAUCACACCAUACUUUGACUUGCGUUACCACUUACCAGACUAUCUUGAAUCAAAUGAGAGAUCAAAUUAAUUAUUACACAGGAAAAUUACCCUUAAUUUGGAUGUUUUGUAUAUGGGAAGAAAAAGGGCUUUACAAAUAAGUUCUUCGAAACUUCAUUUCAUAUAGUCGAAAAACACUUAAAAAUGUCAUUUUGUUGAGGGAAAAAAGCCCAGUUCCUGAUCAAAAACACUUAAAUGUGGCAAAGUGUGUGUGUAGGGGGUGGGUGGGGAGAGAGAGAGAACCUUCAGAUGGAUCAGUGGUAGCAUUUUGAGCAAUGGACAGCUGAAACCAGAAGCAGCCGAGGAAGCAGAGUAAUAGUAUCCUCAUCAUCAACUUCAUCUUCAUAUCGUAUGUGCAGAACUUGCUCUCCUCAUGAACUUAAACGGCCAACACUUAUAUUCCGACUGGCUGAAUCAUGCAUUGCAUGUAAGAAGAAGAAGACCAUUAGAUUUUAGUCAUAUAUUGACAACGUAUACAUAUACAAUAUAAGGUAAAUUACAAAAAACUAUCUCAAUUAUAAGUCGAAUCACAAUCUCAGACCUCAUGUUUUAAAUAUUGCAAUAUCAUUCCUCAUCGUAUGAAUUUGUUGAAAUGUCAGGUCUUUAUUAAAUUUUCUGUCAAUCUGAUUGUUAAAUGAUGACAUGAUAGAAACGAGACCCACUUUUUUGCCAACUUGAAUAAAAAAUUAAUUAAUUAUUAAAAAAUUAAUAAUUUUUUAUUUGACAAUUAAAAUUAACUUUAAAAAUAAAUAAAUAAAAAAACCUCUCCUCCUUGUUUCGUGGAAAUAGUCCCGUUCCUCCUCCCAUCACUCCUUCCUCCGCUCCCCCUCUUCCUAGUCCUCCUUAAACACAGCUAAUUUUCGUCCUCCUCCGGGAACAACUGAUACACCGCCGAUCGCAAAACGCAGGUGGGUUUCGAUGGCAAACCAAAACCAGACCCCAAAUAAGUGGGUUUUGAUGGCAAACCAAAACCAGACCCAAAUCAUCUUGCUCCAACAGUCUUUACAUAAAACUAAUUGAUUUCUUCAUCAUAAGUUCACUAAGAUUUCGCAAAACUGAGCAUUAGAAACCAUCCCCUUAUCAUCUUCCCUCUCUUCAAAUCCCAUCACCGACUGGGGCUUUCGCCCCACUGCCAUUUCUUCAAUUUCUUCUUCUUCACCAUUUUUCUAAGAAAACCACCAAACAAAAUUGCAAAGGUAGAGAGUUCCAGAAAGCCAAAACGAAGAACCCCACAAAAACAAAACCCAAAACGAAAAACACAAAUACAAACCCAGAAAAUUCAAGAAAUUAGAGAAUUCAUUUUUUUUUAAUUAGAGAAACUAAAAUUUCAAAAAUUCAAGAAGUGGCCAUUUGAAAAUUCGCCAAGAACUCCGGAUUUUCGAAAUCCUCCAUAAUAUUAAUUGAAGAAUGGAAGUUCAUUACAGUCCAAUUUUUUUCUUUUUAUUUCCCAUUUUCUGGGUUACCACCACUGCUACAGAUUCGCUUCCCCGAUGCGUAUCAACCUCUACACCUUCUCAUUUCCGUCUCCGUCCGUUCGGUUCUCCAUCAACCACCAUUCGAUUUCUCCCAACCAUCAUUCGAAUCGAUCCACUGCCGUUUCAAAGAAAACCGGACCGAUUUUGAUGCCGAGGAAGGUAUGUGCUCGCCGACGUCGUAGCCAGAUCAUUUCGUUGCAACCUCCACAAGAACCACGGAGGGAGUCAAAACACCGGAUCUUUCCCGUCGAACAGAUUGAAUAUGUGCCGAUCUGAUAUGACGAACUCGCUGGUCCGAAUCGGUGGACUCGAAGGCGGUGGAUGGACAAGGAAGAAGGGGGACGAAGGAGGACGAGGAAGAAGGGGGACGGACGAGGGAGGUGGGGGAGGGGAGGAGACGAUUUCUGGGGAAAUGAAGAGAGUUUAUUUUUAUUUUUUUUUAAAUUAAGUUUAAUUGUUAAAUAAGAACUAGUAAUUUAUUAUUAAUUAAUUAAUUUGUUAUUCAAUGUGGUAAAUGAGUGGGUCUCACUCCUACUACUUCAUCAUUUAACAGUUAAAUUGACAGAAAAUUUAGACAUUGCAACGAUCAUAGGUUGAGGUAUGACAUUGCAAUGUUUAAAACAUGAAGUAUGAAAUUAUGGUUUCGAUAGAUAAGAUAGUUUUAUGUAAUUUAUACUGUAAUAUAUUUUGUCCAAGUUGCAUGAUCAAAUGGCGGCUACUUUUUAAUUUCCAACCUGGAGUUGGCCAAGACUUUGAUCAUAUUAGUUGAAUUUUAUACUGUAAUAUUACACACUUAGCAUUGAAAUAUUUAUGGAUUGACUUAUGGAUUAAUAUUCUUGCUCAGUUGGUCAAUUACUGUAAUUAUGGAGAGGGAUUUUUCUCGAUAGCGAAAGAACGAAGGAUUAAUUCUUUGUUAGUUGGUGAUUUUGAUAUGACAUCAAACCACGAUGUCAUUGUGACAAUUCUUAAACUAAUCACAUUAUUAUGUCUAACAAAACACAUGACACACUAUUUGAUUAGUUUUUUUUUUCCUUUCUAAAAGGAUGGACACUAGUGUCGAACUACAGUUAUCCACCUUUUUCGGAUUCAGAAGAGGCUAGUUGAAAAUUAUACCCUACCUACUGAUGACCUUGUUCAAGCAAGUACGCAGAUUACAACGUAUUGAACUCAAGACUUUGACAAUUAGCUUAAAAUAUUGCUAAGAUUACAUGUUGUAAGUUUGUCCGGUAAAAGAAUAAUAUUUCAGUCAUAAUUUUACAUAUAAAUUCAACGAUAAAAUGAAUUUUAGAUAAGUGGAAGUGGAUUUUUUCAAAGAAAAACACAGGUUGGAUUUUCUAAAAAAAAGAAAGAAAAAUCUCUGGUGGAAUUUUCAAAAGUUGGGAUGAAAAUAUCUGCAAGUAGUUGAAUGAUGCAGCGAGAAAAGUCAAAAGAUGAUAUGUUUUGGGAAAGGGAUUUUCCCACAAAAUACACGAUCCCCACAAAGUGGAUUCGGAUGAGAUCCAAUUCCUAUGUUUUGGAUGACAGAAAGUCAUACUGCCACGUAUGAACGCACCACCACCCCACCCACCUUGGCUUAAUUAUUCCGAUGACUUGCUUUUGUUGACGAAAUUUCUUACGUCUUAAUUGGGAGUGAGAUAAUUUUGUAGUAUGCAAACAAUUUGCUUUCUCUCGGUCCAUAUAUUUGCUACUAACGUCUUAAUUGGGGACGACUAAAGUACUUUUGUAUGUAUAUAAACUUGCUUUCUCUUGGUCCAUAAAUUUGCCAGUAACAUCUUAAUUGGGACCGAGAUACUUUUGCUUGAAGGUAAACGACUUGAUUUCUCUCAGUUAAUAUAUUCAAUGGCAACGUCUUAAUUGGGAUUGACAUACUUUUCUAUGGAUGUAGACAACUUGCUUUCUCUCAGCCUAUAUAUUUGCUAGUAAAGUCUUAAUUAGGACGAUUGGGGUAAUUUUGACUUGCUUUCUCUCAGUCUAUAUAUUUGCUAGUAAAGUCUUAAUCGAGACAACUGAGAUAAUUCUGUACGUAUGUAAACAACUUGCUUUCUCUCUAUCUAUAUAUUUGCUAGCAUAACGUCUUAAUUGGGACUUUAAUAUUUUCUAGCGUCUAGAAAAAUUCGUAGAUUGCUAGCAUCUAAAAAAAUUCAUAGUUGCAUACCGGUCAACGAAGUAAGAUCCAACUUUUGAGUCUUGACUAAUAGUCUCAAUUAGAAAAUACGCAUGUGCGUUGCGGCAGGAACAACUGUUUCAUGAGUAACUGCAUGAAUAAGACACAUUUAACAUGAAUAAAUUUAACACAAGCAUGAAUGAACAGAAGAACACAUGAGUGAACGAGGUCGAUAAGAUAAGCAGAACUUAUGUAAUCAUGUUAACUACAAACUGAGAAAUGACUUUCUUUCCUGCAUAAAAUUUUACUAAAGAAACAGAACUUACGUAAUCACGUUAACUACAAACUGCACUACAAAAAAUUUGAAGUAUUUCCAAAUAUGUUGAAAUCUGAAAGGAAAAAGAUGAUAAUUCUUCUGACCGCAAAAGAUUAUACAAUAAACAUAAGAUGGUGUGAUCUCAUAAAACUUAGUAUUUAGGAGAAAGGAAGAUAUAAACAUACGCAAUCCGCUUCAGACUUGCCAAAUAGAUCUCAUAAAACUCAGUAUUUAGGAGAAAGGAAGAUAAUCUUGCCAAAUAGAUCUCAUAAUAGAUCUCAUAAAAUUCAGUAUUUAGGAGAAAGGAAGAUAAUCUUGCCAAAUAGAUCUCAUAAAACUCAGUAUUUCUAAUUCGUUUUCAGACUUGCCAAAUGUAAUCUCAUAAAACUCAGCAUUUAGGAGAAAGGAAGAUAAUCUUGAAACAUAAACUUAACCAUCAAAUUCAGUUCUUAAAACCAAAAGAAAAGAUUAUGGUUUCUUAGGGCUUGUUUGGUAAUGUACUUGAAUCAAACUUUUUAAACUCAAAAAUAAUUUUCAAGUUUUAGGCCUUAAAAACUUGUUUGGUAGGACUAUUUUCAAAAACUGAACUCAAGACUAACUAAAAAAUAUAGUUUAUUAUUUAAAAACAUAAAAAGUGAGUUUUUAGAGUUUUUAAACUUAAACUCACUUCUUUCUUUUCUCUUCCUCCUCCACUCUCACUUCAAAUCUCUCUCUUUUCUUCUUUCUCUAUCCUUUUUUUUUUUAUCUUUUUCAUCUCUCAUCCAAUUCGCUCUCUUUAUUCUUUAGGUUCUUUUUCUCACUCAUCUUCCUCUUUAUCUCCUCCGAUUCUCUCUCCUUUCUUUUUCCUUAAAUCAUCUCUUACUUUCUUUCCUCCUCUCUCUCCUCUUUCUACCUCUCUUGCAACCCCCUCUUUUUAGAUCGCUUUGUUAUAGUUUAAGUCGUAAGAUUUAAAAUUUUUAAAUUAGAAACCAAUCAAGUUUUUGAGUCAUCAAAAAAACUAUUUUCAAUAAAUGUUCUUAAAAAAUGUUUUGAGAAAUGAUAAAAAUUUUCAAAUAGGAUACCAAACAAGCCCUUUGUUUCUUACCCAAAUCCACCAAUUUGAAUCAAAUUUCUGCAGCUCAGCUUGAAAUCUGUUUGAAAUGACCUCCAUGAACACGAAUCUUGUACAUGCAAAACACUUUAGAUGAAGUUGUGAGAAUGGGUGGUGAUGAAAUUGAAGAAACCACCAAAUUCCAAACAAAUUUUAGACGAUUUUAACACUCAUAAAAGUGUUUCAGAAUCCACAAGUUUAAACGAAAAACUGUAUAAAAUCAUGAAAAAUUUAAUAAAACCCAAUUAUAUGAAUCACUCUUCCCGAAAACAAGACAUUUAAUGCAGAAAGCUCAAACUAUAACAAUUGAUGAACCAAAUAUUUUCAAUUGAAUUUAUCUCUUCAAUUGGUAGGUAUUUUUGUUUAUCCUCGUAUCUUUCAAUUGCCACCCAAAACUAACAUCUGAGAGAGCCUUGCAAUUCUUAUCUUUAAAAGCAUGAAUGGUGAACUAAAUAAAAGAAUAAGAAUAUGCAAUGAACUAAAUAAAAACAGACUUUUUACAAACAUUAUUCGCACAAAAAUUAAAACUGUAUUGAGAAACUCACCAUCCCAUUUCACACAAAUGAUUUAUGAUGAUAAAACCAAUUGGUGGGUGCACUGAAAUAUAUUGACAGGCCCAUUAAAGGCACGAACAUCAUACAGUGAAUUGCACAUAAAGGACAACAUUAUCAAGUAUAUCUUGAGGUGGAAUUGGAUACGAUCAUUAUCAAGUCUUCAUCUCUGACACUAAGAGCACUCUGCAUCCUAGAAUUCCUCAUCUACCAUCAUAUAGCAGCUACUGCCGCUGAAGCAAUACCCAUGUCUGCUCAUACGCAUCGAAAAACAUAUCAUGCAUUCGUUAUACAUUUCUCUAUUAAUUAAUUAGCUAACUGAAUUUAAAAUUAGCUUCCAAACCAAAAAAGUUCUAAACUUUUAAUUUUGCAAUCACAUUCAGUUCUUCAUCUCUUACUCUAAAUCCCAAUUACAGAAAUAUCUAAACUUUACUUCAAUUUAAUAUUGUUUUCCCCAAAAACAGCACAAUCCCACAAAAAUAAAGUAAAAAAAAAAAACAACAACAAUAUACCAUGAAUUAAAUUAAAAUUCUCACCUCCACCUCCGGCAGAGCUUUCGCAUUCUCAACCUGUUGCAUUAAAAAAUAAAAAAUAAAAAAUAAAAAAUCAAAUCAAAUCAAAUUCAAGUAAAAAUAAAAAAGAGAACUUGAAUAUAGCAACCCUACUCCCCCUCUUUCUCCCUCUCUAGCUCUCCCUCUGCAAUUCACACGUGCACCCCCUCCCUCUGUAACCCUCCCCGUGAAACCCCUAAACCCCAUGCGUAGGCCCCAUAUCUUCUGGCUGUGACCUCAUGAAUAGUCCCCAUCACCUCGAUUCCAUCGAACCAUGGCCUCGGUCAAAUCGAAACCAACCAGAGCCCACUCCCCAUACCCCUACCACCCUCCCCAGUAUCACACCCCUGUGAUCUUCACCUUCAAUCUGUCCCAGGGAUUGGAUCUCCGAAAUAUUCUAUUCAUGAAGUACUUGAUAAAGAAACCCACUUUAGUUGGAUCAGUGAUCCCAGCGACUAUUAAAUUUUCAUAGUUUCCAGUGGCAACAUGCAUCCAUAGUUGGGGUUGUCACUUGAAAGCACCUGAGAAAUGAGACUUUAAUUUAUACGAUGAAACAUAUUAAACAGAUAGUGAGCACAGUAUAUAAAGUGAAACGAAAAAAAAAAGCCUUCUCACUGACAAUGCCUUUUCAGGUCAGAUAAAUGACUCAGAACUUGGAAGUAAAAUAUGGAAAUCACAACCCAAAACAUAGAUUAACAAAUGCUAUCAUUUCAGAUUUUCACAUACAAUAUAGCAGAUAAGGAAGAGUAAAGAAAAUUUGAGAGAAAUUCAAACAGAAUAAGGAUAACCACCUAUGCAUAGACUUACCAUUAUCACCAAUAAUAUUCCACAAAAGAUAUAUAUAUAUAUAUUUGGUGACAAUCAUACAUUUGAUUCCCACAAUAUUUCAUGUUUUGCAUCAAAAUUAGAAAUUAAAAAAAAAAAAACACAGAAGAAAAGGGCACCUCUUACUUUCCCUGCAGCUGCUUUUCAAAAGGCAAAAUGCUUUAGAUCCUAAAUACCAAGCAAAUAUAGAAGCGAUUCAACAAUUAUCAAAGAAAAUCAACCAUGCAAGGAACAAAACUUAAAAACUAAACAAUUAUCAAAACUUGUGAAGAACGCUAAAUCCAACUAAUUCGAAACAUAAAAGUAACCUGAAAGAGAUAAAACUUAUAAAUUCUAGGGGCUUUUAGAUCCAGGUCCAAAAACAUAGAGAGUUUUUAGGAGUGAGUCCAGUUAAUAAAUUAUAUGUUUUUAUUUCUUUUAUACUCAUUUUAUAUUUUCUAAAAAUAUUAAAAAUCAAUUAAAAUCUUUUAAUAUUAUGCAUUUUUCAACUUCAAAAUAUCUAAUUAAUAUCUUAUAACAAAAAAAAUUGAUAUACUAACAUAAAUCUAUCUACAAAACAUUCUACCCUAACUCAAGUAGCAAAUAUAUGAUUGUAUAUUAUACCUAUAAGUGAGAUAUGAAACCUAACUAAAAGGUAGAAAAAAACAUAAUAUACCUACAAGCAAGACACAUUAAUCUGUGACAGGUUGACUAUGAAAAAGAAUCUGUCAUAUAGGUAGAUAAAUACAAUUAACCUGUGAUAUAGGUUGACUAUAAAAAUUAAAAUAAAAUCUAUAAAUGGGUUAAAGCACGAGAAAGAACAUGAAAUAACAAAUAAAUAAAUAAAAAGAAAUAAUCAAAGAGAUAAUUAGGAAGAAAUUUGAUUUUUACAAUAAAUUUUUUCAUUUAAGAGAUAAUUAUUGAUAAUAAAAUAAUUAAAUUUAAAGAAUUGGACCUAUUCUAAUAAACUGAACUAUUCCUACUAUUGGCUCAAAAAAUUGGAGUUAUAUCAAGUUUCCCCUAAAUUCUAUAUCAAUUAUAAUCCUUUAGAGAAAAUCUCCAAUAUCCAUUAUCCAAUUAACCUAAUUGUAUUAAAAACCUAGCAAAUCUCCAUUCAAUUAAGCAAAUUUUGCAGUAAAUUAUCCAUUUUUCACAAUAAAGCAAUAAAAAGAUCAUGAGCAAGUAAAUCUGGACCACUACGAUCAAAAUUCCAGCAAUCAAUAACCAUGAUUAUAAAUUUUGACAAACUUACAGUUGCUACAGCAUUUGACAAUCAACAACAACAAUAACAAAGCCUUUUCCCACUAAGUGGGGUCAGCUAUAUGAAUCCUAGAACGCCAUUGCGCUCGGUUUUGUGUCAUGUCCUCUGUUAGAUCCAAGUACUCUAAGUCUUUUCUUAGAGUCUCUUCCAAAGUUUUCCUAGGUCUUCCUCUACCCAUUCGGCCCUGAAUCUCUGUCAUGUAGUCACAUCUUCGAACCGGAGCGUCAGUCGGCCUUCUUUGCACAUGUCCAAAUCACCGGAGCCGAUUUUCUCUCAUCUUUCCUACAAUUUCGGCUACUCCUACUUUACCUCGGAUAUCCUCAUUCCCAAUCUUAUCCUUUCUCGUGUGCCCACACAUCCCACGAAGCAUCCUCAUCUCCGCUACACCCAUUUUGUGUACGUGUUGAUACUUCACCGCCCAACAUUCUGUGCCAUACAACAUCGCUGGCCUUAUUGCCGUCCUAUAAAAUUUUCCCUUGAGCUUCAGUGGCCUACGACGGUCACACAACACGCCGGAUGCACUCUUACACUUCAUCCAUCCAGCUCGUAUUCUAUGGUUGAGAUCUCCAUCUAAUUCUCCGUUCUCUUGCAAGAUAGAUCCUAGGUAGCGAAAACGGUCGCUUUUUGUGAUCUUCGCUAGAUUGCUCCGGUCAUUAGUGUGGAUAAGUAUAUAAAUGGAUAGAGAUAGGAAAGCAAACACAAGAUGUACAUGGUUCACCCAGAUUGGUUACGUCCACGGAAUAGAAGAGUUCUCAUUAAUUGUGAAGGGUUUACACAAAUACAUAGGUUCAAGCUCUCAUUUAGUGAGUACAAGUGAAUGAUUUAGUACAAAUGACAUUAGGAAAUAUUGUGGGAGAAUGAUCUCGUAAUCACGAAACUUCUAAGUAUCAGAGUGUGGUGUCGUCUUGACUUGCCUUAUCUGUCUCAUAGGUAGAUGUGGCAUCUUCUCUGGAAGUACUCUUCCUCCAUCCAGGGGUGGUAUCUUUAACUGAUGGAGAUGCACAAGGUAAUGUAUCAAUUUCACUUGAAGCUUACUUGUAGUUUCAGGCUUGGUCAAGCGCGAUACAAACCAUGUAGUAGGAGUUCCCCAAGUCGCCGAGCUAGGGGGUCUGCUGAAAGAGGUGACAUACAAGGUAAGCAAUCAGAGCUCCGACUGAUUGUUCACCUUCUCCCCAUCUUGCAGCAGCAUGAAGGAUAAAGAGAAGAAAAAUUAGAAGAGAUGAUAUGAGAUACUUUUGCUUUUGAAGAAGUAACUUUCCACAGGCUUAUUCUUGAACUGAGCUGGAGGGUUUUCUGGUUUCCUCCAGAGUAUAAGGCCGACUGAAGAAUUUGAGGGUCAAAACAAGUCCAUCAAAUCUAGAGUACGUUCCACCCUACUGAUAUGGAAUACUUUUGCUUUUGACAGAGUAAUGGAUGUAUCGGCAUGUGUGCUGUUACGCUUGUCUCCACAUGCUUCCUUGUAUCCUUCGCACUUGCCCUAUCUGUUCCUCAAGCAGAUGCGGAAUCUUCCCUGGAAACAUAAGAUGUUGAAGAUGAGUACUCGAGAGCAAUGCCAGGUAAGUAAUCAGGUAAGGGGUUCCAGGCAGUCAGUUCCUGGCUGGAAGCUUGAUUCCAAGUGCUGACUGAUUGCUCUCUUUCUCCUUGUCUUGCAGGUAAAAACAAGGCCAAAGGAAAAGACAGGGAAAAAGCAUGAUAUGAGAUACUCUUGCUUUUAACCCUGAUGAUAUGAGAUAUUCUUGCUCUAGUAUAGCUUGUUUGCAGAGGUAUUAUCGGGGGGAAAGAAAGCUGAAUAUUUCGAAAGGCUUCGUUGGGAGUGCCCUCUCAGAUAUGAUGAAGGGUUGAGCAUUUUUGCAGGUCUGCCUGUCCGUUGGGGAUGGAGGUCGACAUAUAUAGGAGUCUCCCUAACAACAAGUAGUAAUGCUAUUCCUUUACCCUGCUUGGUCAUAGCACGGUAGUGGGAGCUGCCAGUUUCACAUGUUUUAACUCUGUCAGAGCACUUUGAAAAAGUGGUCUGUGGUAUCUGGCUCUCGAGAUUCGGAGAACGAUGCCUCUUCGAUUUUUGAGAAAGCAAUCAUGCUGGGGGUCUGGCUCUCGAGAGCAGUGUCUCUUCGAUUUUUGAGGAAGUAAUCAUGUUGGGAGUCUGGCUCUCGAGAUUCGGAGGGCGGUGCCUCUUCGAUUUUGGAGCAAGCAAUCUUGUUGGGAGUGUUGUCUCGAAUGUGAGUAAAGGUUGGGCAUGUUUGCUAGUCUACCUUGCCACGAAGCACAAAGGUUGACACACAGGGACUUUCCAAUUAUCCAGCAAUGGUACUGUUCCUUUACCCUCUCUUCGAUUUUGAGAAAGUAGUUAUGUUGGGAGUCUGGCUCUCGAGAUUCGGAGGACGGUGCCUCUUCGAUUUUGGAGCAAGCAAUCUUGUUGGGAGUGUUUUCUCGAAUGUGAGUAAAGGUUGGGCAUGUUUGCUAGUCUACCUUGCCACGAAGCACAGAGGUUGACACACAGGGACUUUCCAAUUAUCCAGCAGUGGUAUUGUUCCUUUACCUUUGUGGGUAAUAAUAUGGUAGCUAGACCUUCAAAAUUUAUGUGUCUAAACUUUGUUAGUGCUGUUUCUUUGCUAUUCUUUUACCUUUCUUGGUCAGAGCGAUGUAGUGGGAGCUGCAAGCUUCACGUGCUCAACUUUGGCAGAGAACUUUGGCAAAGUUAUCUGUGGUACCCAUGAGCUAUUGUUGCGUGUGGGAAGUGGGUGAUUGAACAGUAAGAUUCAUGUGCUUUCUACUUCACAAGAAGUCUUCGACAGAAUGCCCAUAAUUUCUGCAAAGCUGAGUGUGCGUGUGACAGGUGCUGAUAAGGCUAGAAAAGUAGGUGCCUCUUCGAUUUCUGAGAUCGGCCUUUGUGGUCUCUGAGCAGCCCAGCUUUUGAGAAAGCGAGCGCCUCUUCGAUUGAUUCGGAGAACGAUGCCUCAUCGAUUUUUGAGAAAGCAAUCAUGCUGGGGGUCUGGCUCUCGAGAUUCGGGGAGCAGUCUCUUCGAUUUUUGAGAAAGUAAUCAUGUUGGGAGUCUGGCUCUCGAGAUUCGGAGGGCGGUGCCUCUUCGAUUUUGGAGCAAGCAAUCUUGUUGGGAGUGUUUUCUCGAAUGUGAGUAAAGGUUGGGCAUGUUUGCUAGUCUACCUUGCCACGAAGCACAGAGGUUGACACACAGGGACUUUCCAAUUAUCCAGCAAUGGUACUGUUCCUUUACCCUCUCUUCGAUUUUUAAGAAAGUAGUCAUGUUGGGAGUCUGGCUCUCGAGAUUCGGAGGACGGUGCCUCUUCGAUUUUGGAGCAAACAAUCUUAUUGGGAGUGUUUUCUCGAAUGUGAGUAAAGGUUGGGCAUGUUUGCUAGUCUACCUUGCCACGAAGCACAGAGGUUGACACACAGGAACUUUCCAAUUAUCCAGCAGUGGUACUGUUCCUUUACCCUUGUGGGUAAUAAUAUGGUAGCUAGACCUUCAAAAUUUAUAGGUCUAAACUUUGUUAGUGCUGUUUCUUUGCUAUUCUUUUACCCUUCUUGGUCAGAGCGAUGUAGUGGGAGCUGCAAGCUUCACGUGCUCAACUUUGGCAGAGAACUUUGGCAAAGUUAUCUGUGUGUUUUCUACUUCCCCAGAAGUCUUCGACAGAAUGCCCAUAAUUUCCGCAAAGCUGAGUGUGCGUGUGACAGGUGCUGACAAGGCUGGAAAAGUAGGUGCCUCUUCGAUUUCUGAGAUCGGCCCUCGUGGUCUCUGGGGAGCCCAGCUUUUGAGAAAGCGAGCGCCUCUUCGAUUUCUGAGAUCAGCCUUCGUGGUCUUUGAGCAGCCCAACUUUUGAGAAAGCAAACGCCUCUUCGAUUUCUGAGAUCAACCCUCGUGAUCUCUAAGCAGCCCAGUUUUUGAGAAAGCAAACGCCUCUUCGAUUUCUGAGCAGGCGCCUCUUCGAUUUCUGAAGCUCCGUCGAGUGCAGAUUUUUAUAGGGGCUGGCAUUAAGUUCCAAAGCACACACUUGAAUCUCCACCAGUAGAAGCUUCAUUCUUGCACUUCUAAGAUCUUGAUUUGUCCGACCUUUUCUCUCUUCAACACCUUUGAAAAUGUCUGGCCCCUCCGACCGUCGUUUUGACUUGAACCUUGUUGAAGAGGCAGCCCCGCCUUCUCCAGACAACAUAUGGCGCCCAUCCAUUCGUCUCCCCUACUGGUCCUCUUACCGUUGGGGAUUCCGUGAUGAAGAAUGAUAUGACCGCUGCGGUGGUGGCCAGGAACCUUCUCACUCCCAAAGAUAACAGACUACUUUCCAAACGGUCUGAUGAGUUAGCUGUUAAGGAUUCGCUGGCUCUCAGUGUUCAGUGUGCAGGUUCUGUGUCUAAUAUGGCCCAACGCCUAUUUGCUCGAACCCGCCAAGUUGAAUCAUUGGCGGCUGAAGUGAUGAGUCUUAAACAGGAGAUUAGAGGGCUCAAGCAUGAGAAUAAACAGUUGCACCGGCUCGCACAUGACUAUGCUACAAACAUGAAGAGGAAGCUUGACCAGAUGAAGGAAACUGAUGGUCAGGUUUUACUUGAUCAUCAGAGAUUUGUGGGUUUGUUCCAAAGGCAUUUAUUGCCUUCGUCUUCUGGGGCUGUACCGCGUAAUGAAGCUCCAAAUGAUCAACCUCUGAUGCCUCCUCCUUCUAGGGUUCUGUCCAGUACUGAGGCUCCAAAUGAUCCCCCUCCGGUGCCUUCUCUUUCUGGGGCUCUACCGACUGCUGAGACUUCUCCUAAGCAACCUUUGUGAAGGCUCCCUCUUGUGUGUUUAUUUUGACUCAUGUAUAUGUACAUAUUUGUAGCUUAUCGGGGAUAUCAAUAAAUAAGCUUUCCUUCAUUUCAACGUAUAUUGUGUUAAAUACACCAAAGCCUUCUUCGCUAAGUUCUUUGAAUUUUCUUUUGUUGAAGCUUGUAUGUUGAAGCUUUCUGAGUGGAGCAUGUAGGUUGGGGUAGUGUUCCCUUAAUUUCCCGAGUGAGGAAAACUUCUCGGUUGGAGACUUGGAAAAUCCAAGUCACUGAGUGGGAUCGGCUAUAUGAAUCUUAGAACGCCAUUGUGCUCGAUCUUGUGUCAUGUCCUUCGUUAGAUCCAAGUACUCUAAGUCUUUUCUUAGAGUCUCUUCCAAAGUUUUCCUAGGUCUUCCUCUACCCCUUCGGCCCUGAACCUCUGUCCCAUAGUCGCAUCUUCUAAUCGGAGCGUCAGUAGGCCUUCUUUGCACAUGUCCAAACCACCGUAACCGAUUUUCUCUCUCAUCUUUCCUUCAAUUUCGGCUACUCCUACUUUACCCCGGAUAUCCUCAUUCCUAAUCUUGAUCCUUUCUCGUGUGCCCCACACAUCCAACGAAGCAUCCUCAUCUCCGCUACACCCAUUUUGUGUACGUGUUGAUGUUUCACCGCCCAACAUUCUGUGCCAUACAGCAUCGCCGGCCUUAUUGCCGUCCUAUAAAAUUUUCCCUUGAGCUUCAGUGGCAUACGGCGGUCACACACAACACGCCGGAAUGCACUCUUGCACUUCAUCCAUCCUAGCUUGUAUUCUAUGGUUGAGAUCUCCAUCUAAUUCUCCGUUCUUUUGCAAGAUAGAUAGAUCAUAGGUAACGAAAACGGUCGCUCUUUGGUAUUAUUUCUUGAUCUCCGAUCCUCACCCCUAACUCGUUUUGACCUCUAUUUGCACUGAACUUGCACUCCAUAUAUUCUGUCUUUGAUCGGCUUAUGCGAAGACCUUUAGAUUCCAACACUUCUCUCCAAAGGUUAAGCUUUGCAUUUACCCCUUCCUGAGUUUCAUCUAUCUAUCAACACUAUAUCGUCUGCGAAAAGCAUACACCAAGGAAUAUCAUCUUGAAUAUGUCCUGUUAACUCAUCCAUUACCAACGCAAAAAGGUAAGGACUUAAGGAUGAGCCUUGAUGUAAUCCUACAGUUAUGGGAAAGCUUUCGGUUUGUCCUUCAUGAGUUCUUACGGCAGUCUUUGCUCCUUCAUACAUAUCCUUUAUAGCUUGGAUAUAUGCUACUCGUACUCCUUUCUUCUCUAAAAUCCUCCAAAGAAUGUCUCUUGGGACCCUAUCAUACGCUUUUUCCAAAUCUAUAAAGACCAUGUGUAAAUCAUUUUUCCAAUUUCUAUAUCUUUCCAUCAAUCUUCGUAAGAGAUAGAUUGCCUCCAUGGUUGAGCCCUGGCAUGAACCCGAAUUGGUUGUCCGAAACCCGUGUCUCUUGCCUCAAUCUAUGCUCAAUGACUCUCUCCCAGAGCUUCAUUGUAUGACUCAUUAGCUUAAUACCCCUAUAGUUCAUGCAAUUUUGUACGUCGUCCUUAUUCUUGUAGAUAGGCACCAAAGUGCUCGUUCGCCACUCAUUUGGCAUCUUCUUCGUUUUCAAAAUCCUAUUGAAAAGGUCAGUGAGCCAUGUUAUACCUGUCUCUCCCAAAAGUUUCCACACUUCGAUUGGUAUAUCGUCUGGGCCUAUUGCUUUUUUAUGCUUCAUCUUCUUCAAAGCUACAACCACUUCUUCCUUCCGGAUUCGACGAUAAAAAGAGUAGUUUCAACACUCUUCUGAGUUACUCAACUCCCCUAAAGAAGCACUCAUUUCAUGUCCUUCAUUGAAAAGAUUAUGAAAAUAACCUCUCCAUCUGUCUUUAACCGCGUUCUCUGUAGCAAGAACCUUUCUAUCCUCAUCCUUGAUGCACCUCACUUGGUUUAGGUCCCUUGUCUUCUUUUCCCUUGCUCUAGAUAGUUUAUAGAUAUCCAACUCUCAUUCUUUGGUAUCUAGUCGUUUAUACAUAUCGUCGUAAGCCGCUAACUUAGCUUCUCUGACAGCUUUCUUCGCCUCUUGCUUCGCUUUUCUAUACCUUUCACCAUUUUCAUCGGUCCUCUCCUUGUAUAAGGCUUUACAACAUUCCUUCUUAGCCUUCACCUUUGUUUGUACCUCCUCAUUCCACCACCAAGAUUCCUUUUGGUGUGGGGCAAAGCCCUUGGACUCUCCUAAUACCUCUUUUGCUACUUUUCGGAUACAACUAGCCAUGGAAUCCCACAUUUGGCUAGCUUCCCCCUCUCUAUCCCACACACAUUGGGUGAUUACCUUCUCUUUGAAAAUGGCUUGUUUUUCUUCUUUUAGAUUCCACCAUCUAGUCCUUGGGCACUUCCAAGUCUUGUUCUUUUGUCUUACUCUUUUGAUAUGUACAUCCAUCACCAACAAGCGAUGUUGAUUAGCCACGCUCUCUCCUGGUAUAACUUUGCAAUCCUUACAAGUUAUACGAUCCACUUUCCUCAUUAGAAGAAAAUCUAUUUGUGUUUUUGACGACCCACUCUUGUAGGUGAUCACAUGUUCUUCUCUCUUCUUAAAGAAGGUGUUGGCUAAGAAGAUAUCAUAUGCCAUUGCAAAAUCCAAGAUAGCUUCCCCAUCCUCGUUUCUCUCCCCAAAACCAUGGCCACCAUGAAAACCUCCAUAGUUGCCUGUCUCCCUGCCCACGUGUCCAUUUAAAUCUCCUCCUAUAAAUAACUUCACCGUCUGAGCAAUUCCUUGCACCAAGUCUCCAAGAUCUUUCCUGGAGCCGCAGAUGUUCUAUCAAAAAAAUGAGUAAUCGAAUUAGUUGAUUAAAUUUACAGAAGAAGAGAGAGAAGAGGGGAAUGGAGGAGAACAGCAGAAGGAGAUGAAAUCAGAUUCAGAGUUUGAGAGUCAAUUGCUGAAUUUAGAUGAACUGACCUUUUCGAUCACAUACAGUCAAACUGGAAUGCACAGGGAGAAGCAGAAGAAGAAAAAGAAGAUGGAGAGGGGGUGGUCAAUAGCUUAUCGAGGUCGGAGUUGACAAAAAUCAACAAAGCCAUGCGCGAUUUCGUCGUUGUGAGCUGUGAGAGAGAAUACGAUGGUCACAUGACUCAAUGUGACAUCCAGAAAACUUAGUACUACAACACUAAACUUAAAAGGAAAAGUACAGAAGAAUCGAAACCAUUAUAAUUCCUUACAUGAUACUGAAUGUCUGUUAGUUAGAAGAGCCCAAGAAGCAAUUGUUCCAUCUGCUAGCAAUCGGCAUAUCCCAGAUCCAUCUGCCAAAGAUAUACACCAAAUUAGAUGGAAACACAAAAGAGUAAAUUGGUGGGGCUAGCCAGCCUUCAUUCUAGAGGCGGUUUAGCGGCUCACUACUAAUUAACAUUGCCAACAUUCAUUUCUUUUUGUAUUUCAUUUAGUUAAACUUCCGACAUGGGAUUUUAACAUUCUCCAGCCCCAAUAGCAUCAAUCAACACAAUACCACAAACCCAAAACUGUGCAUAAAAGAACAGAAAUCAAUGACUGAUUACAAAUUAACAUGAGGGCAGUAAAAGCUAAUAAUGCAGGUUGAUUUCCACAUUGUUAGCAUGAUAAAUAUUGUCAUUGCACACUUGUGCACCAGUUAAAGCAGGAUAUUAUGUCUUUCUUGUAUCAUCCACUCUCUUGCUAGUCCUAGUUUUUUUGCGCAUUGCAGUUAUAAAUUAACAUUGCCAAGCAAUAAAUUGAUAAAAAGGAAGGGGGAAGAUACAACCAAGCCACCUAUAGACCAACCAAGCAAAACCUGAUGCAAACAAAUAUACAAAUAAGCAAACUUCAAAAGAUACAAUAGCAAAAAACCAAACACAUAUAACCAGAAUCUAAGAACAUUUUAAUGACAAAAAAGAAAACUGACCUUUUGCGUGGAGGCAAUGAGAAAAUAUAGAGAAGCAGACCAACUAUUUGAAAAGGUAAAAACAAAAGACUGAAAUCAAACAAUGAUAUAUCGAUCACCAAAAUAAAUGUACAAUAUCUUUCAAAUUUGAUGAUAAAUUUACAUGCAAUAAGUCGCAUUAUCACUCGUACAACUAACAUACUUCCUAUAUUAGACCACACAACACAUGCACCAUAAUCACUUCAUUGGUGCUCUGCCUCAUUUGCAAAUGUAGUUUUAUCUCCACUGAGUUUCUACAUGCAUGGGAACAUAUGUUUUUCUUGUUAAUUUGAAUAGAUUAUAAACUGUUUAACUAAUUUCUGGGAUUCAUAUCUGUAAUAUCAAACUAUAUCAGUUGGAUUUUAAUGGUAAGUAAAACAGUUGUAUAAUGAACAAACAAUGAAAGAAGGAAGCCAAAUAAUGACAAUGAAAAGAAGAGAAUUCCAACACAUUGAGAAUAUUAGUUUUAGAUUUUGAGAACAGAUUUAUUCCAUUACCUUUUACCUUUCCUCUCUUUUAGCAACAGACAAUAGUCAUUAAAUUUCUUCUCAUGGCGUGUGUGCUGUGAGCUUGGCGAAGCCAUGUGACCUUAAUUUCUUUUCUUUUUUUUGGGAAAAAAUUAUACAAAUGGUACGGUUUCAACUGUACAUGUUUAACCUCAGUGUUUUUCAAUUUCAGUUUUACCUUUACCAUCCAUUUAUUUUCCUAUCCAAAAUGUUUAGAAAAAUAAAUCUAUAGCUGCUAACAGUCUAUAUGCUUCAUGCUGUCAGACUCUGCAAUCUAAAAAUUCAUGUAAAUGCAGAGGUUUGGCUGAAGGAGAGGCAUCGAAGACAUCCAGAAAUCCUUCCAUGGCAAACUUAGUUGUACACCCAUGGCGUGUGUGUUGUAUGCUAGAUGCCCCCUCUCUUUUAACAACACACAAUAGCUUAUGCAAAUGCAAAGAGACUUCAACAUGUUUCAUUUAAAAUAAGUUUACAUUUUGUAGCAAAUGCAUAUGGCGAAAUAGUCUAUAAGUAAUCAUACUGGCAACCAAACAGAACAGUUCAAAAACUUCAAUGGAAAUAUAAAUUGCAGAAAAAAAAAACUUGAAUUUCCAAACCCACAAAAUAAAAAAUUCAACCAGGUUAAAUGUGUAAGAAGAAAUACCAAGAACUGAGAGCUGCAGACAAUCAAAAUGCUCAUGAUCUUGGUCAAGCUGAUGAAAUCCAAAUAUGUACUUUCAUGUCCUCCUCCUUGGUCAAUUCCUUGAGAAGCUUCGAUAUCGCCAACAAUGUCUCCUCUUCGUGGCCGUGGCCAUGGUCGUGCCAACUGCCAUGGAUCUUUCUCCUUCUAACCAGACACCACUUCAACCCUUUCUCCUUUCAAACUUACCUUUCAUCAUCUGCAUUAACAGAAACAAUAACUUUUGUCAGUGCAUUCAAACCAAACCCAUAAAUCAACUGCAAAUCACAAAUUUACCCAAAAAAAUCCCGCAAAGACCCAAACUCCCCGAAAAUUACCAUAUUAGCACUCCCUCCACCCCAAAAUCAGAAAAUUAGAAAACAGAAUAUGAAACAUUGUACGUAGAAAGCAAGGAAUCGAUAAUUUAGGAGGUUUCCCAGGACAAGAAUGAGCUUUUAAAUAUCAUAUUCCCAUAUGGAUGCACAAAUACAGAGAGACUACAGAGACCAUUUGAUGAAAAAAAAUAGAGACGCUCAGAGACUCAACAGACACUAUUCAUAGAUCCAUGACUUAGAAUUUCUCAGAUCCGGUUGAAAUUAAUAAAAAAAAAAUUAGGGAUGUGAAUUUAUACCUCUGAUAGUCUGAGCUCCGUUCCCCUUAUUCCUUUGCCGGCUUGGGGCAAACUUGAGGAGAUCGGUGAUUAGGGGAUACGAAUUCAAAAUAAAAUUUUCUAGUAGUAAUCGUCGCUGCUGCAGUAGUCAUCGUCCUCGGAUUCCAUCGUUGUCUGACCACAAAAACCUAACGGCGGCUGGAGAACCACAGAACAACCAAGAGUAAAAAAGGGAGUGCGGGAGAGAGAAGCAGCCAAAAUACAGAGAAGAUGGCAAGAGAAAGGAGAAAUGGAAAGCAGACAAACAAAAAGUAACAUGGGUGCUAGCCAAUUUCCCAAACCCCACUUCUGCUAAAGCUACAUGCUAUUGAUUAUGAUUAAAAACUAAAUUAAUCAUACCAUUAAUCGCUAAUAAAUAAUGGGUUAUGUUUGUUUUCAUGAAUUCAGGCUCAAAAUACGAACUAUAAAUCCAAAAUUUGAAAUUUAAUUGCUUUAUCUCCUUACCCGAUAGAGCCAGACGAUUACUGAUCACUAAGCAUCCAAUUCUUGAAAACUACCGAAAUCAAAACAACAACUUCCACUCAAUUUCUGAGCAACAGAAAGAUCAAGCCAAAUCAAAACCAACAACUUUCAACUAAAUUGCACAAAAGAGUCAAAAUUUAAUUGCUAUACAGAACUAUCGGUUCAAUUGAAAACAAUUAGAAUUCGAGAACCUACCUCCUCCAUUCUCUGAGAGCGAAGCCCUCCUCAGGCAGCAUCUCCGAUGGAGCCGCCAAAAUCGGAUCGUCGGACCCGCCAAACCCUCCAUCAAAGCCCCGGCCGUUCGAUUCAGCGUAGAUCAACGGAGGAGAGAAGGCCUGCGAUGCCGGCUGAGUGACGAAAGCGUUGUCUACAGCAGAGCUGUGGAAGAUUGGGGAAUCGGUGGCGGAGUCCUUGAGCGACUCAGAGUCGACAAAGGAGUCGAAUAGCUGGGAGGAGAGUUGGGGGUCGUAGCCCAGGUAACCGUUGUGCAGGUGUGUUGAGGGUUCUUGAGUUAAUUGAAAAAUUAAACUUGCAACUGCUUUACAAACCUGAGAGUCAGUAACUGGUAAAACAUGAGCUUGUACUGGCGAAAGCCAUAAUGGAAAAUCCCCGGCAUAAUGCUCUCUAAGGACCCCAAAAAAUCGCUUCAAUGACCCAAGAACAGCUCUAUGAAUCAUGAUAGGCCGCUUCUUUUCAGAGUUUGAGUCAGCAUAUGUUAAGUCAAAACGCUGUGGUCGGUUAAAAUCAACCUGUACAAUUUGGGAAAUACAAAAGAUCAAACAAUUUAAAAUAACAAUAAUAAGUGGCUUUAGUCUAUCAAACAAAUCCAUGUAAUUCGCUCAAUUCAAAAAAGAUGCUCAAAUCUCCAAUGAACAUUUUACAAAGUGACACAGAGAUAGACGGAGAGACUACCAAUUAAAAAACAAAGCACACAUUAGAAUUAUCCCGUCAUGAGUUUAGGAUUAACCUGUAUAGUUGAGCACUGCCACUUCCUUCCAAGGGCAUCCUCCACUUAAGAUCAAUCCUUGGACCAUAAAAGGCACCACCACCUUCAUCAAUUGGAUAGCUCCAACCUUUAUCAUCCAAAGCAUCUCUAAGGGCAGAUGUUGCUUUCACGGUUUCACCCAUAUAUCAUCAUCUCCAACAGCUUUCUCUCGCCUCGUAGAGAGAUUGACCUCAUAUUUGCUGAAGCCGAAUUGCAACAAAAGUUCUUCGGUAAGAUCUAGGACACCCCUAAUUUCAUCUUUGAUCUGAUCUUCUGGACAAAAUAUAUGGGCAUCAUCCUGCAACAGGUCCCGAGAUUAUAAACUAACAGUUUGCAAAUACUAACACCAUACCUGAGUAAAACCUCUUACAUGAAAAAGACCAUGCAAGCUUCCAGAUAAUUCGUAUCUAUAUACGGCUCCCAACUCAGCAACUCGAAUAGGAAAUUCAUGAUAUGAGUGAGGCUUCCUUUUGUAAACCAAGAUAUGAUAGGGGCAGUUCAUCGGUCGAAGCUGAUAAAGUUCAUCCUCAACAUUCAUUUGAUCAUACAUAUUCUCCUUGUAGUAAUCCAGAUGACCACUUAUCUGCCAAAGGUUCGCCUUUGCAACAUGUGGAGUAUACAGCAGAUCGUAACCACGUUCUAUGUGGAUCUUUUUCCACAAAUCUUCCAUUACAUGCCUCACAAUAGUACCCUUUGGAUGCGAGAACACUAAACCCCCACCAGCAUCAUUCUGUGAAAAUUCAACAAUGAAAAUGUUCAAUGCAAGAAUCCUCAUAAUUACAAAUAAUGGGAUUGCUAACUGAUAAAUCUGCGUAAACAGCAGAAAGAGAUUCAGGGCAAUUCUGAGUACCUGUAUAGAAAACAGGUCAAGAACUUGACCAAGGCGCCUGUGAUCUCGACGUUUAGCUUUCUCAUUGAAAUGCCUUCAAUUGAUCUUCACUCUCCCAUGCAGUGCCAAAGAUCCUCUGCAGCAUCGGUUUCUUUUCAUCUCCUCUCCAGUAGGCACCAGCAAUAGACUCAAGUUAGACAACUUUUCUGUUAAUACUUCCAGUUUUUUCAACAUGGGGCCCCGCACAUAGGUCCCACCAUUCAUCACCUAUGAAGAAUUCGGCAUACUAUGAAUGUGUGGGAUUUGAUCGAAUAGGACAUGGAAAAAUGGGUGUACAGCAGUAGAUAUGCUGCGAAAAUUUUCGUCCUGCUUUUGGGAAUGUGAGAAGAUACAUGGGUUUCUAUAUUUUGAUAAGGUGUUGAGGUCGAGCUAUGUUCAUUUUUUUUCUGAAUUUCCUUGUAGUUUGGUAUUAAUGGCGCCUUUUUUUUUUGGAAGACGGGAUUAUAUAUCAUCCGGGCAAAGAUGUCAAAGGAAUACAAGGAGGCAAACAACCAAUACAAGGAAAGGGUAGAGCAAGGAGGUAACAAGAACUAAGACACCGCACCUAGUGCUACAGCGUCCUUCCUCGCACUACCAACACAAUUAAUGCGGACAGGGAAGUCCGUCAUUACACAAAACAUGAACAAGGGAGGAUGGGGGUCUAUCGACCCACGUAAAAUCACAUACCUCCUUACAACGCCGCGAAGCCAAAAGGUCCGCUGCCACAUUGGUCGACCUUGGAACCCAAGACCAGCGGCAAUCUUGAAAGCCACUUCCCAUAAUACUACAUCUCGCAAUAAUCGGGAAGGCUUCCCAGCUGCCCUUCCUUGUUGCGUCCUUCAAACAAGAAAUAGACUCCAGAGAAUCAGACUCCACCAUUAUCAAGUUCCACCCUCUGUUCAUACCCAGCUUACAUCUAUGCAAGAUAGCUUUCGCCUCCAUCAAUGCCACGCUUGUGGCUUUCUCUUUGAACCUGCAGGCAGCCAAGAACCUGCCCUCCUCAUCUCGAGCCACAGCUCCCGUAAAAUCCAGGCCGUCCGAUGCGCACCAGCUGGCAUCCACGUUAAUCUUCACGAAACCCCCACUUGGAGGAGACCAACCAGCGGCAAAGCUAGAUUCCAUAGGAAUGGCAACCUCGGGGUUGGGUUGGAUUGACCAGGCAUCCCUGAACGUUGUUGUCGAGUGAGAAAUAGCGGCAAGAACCUGUGAAGUUUUCCCUCACCAAAUCCCACACAGCCGGCGAUCCUACACAGCGAUUAUCAACGUGUGGAUGGCAAAAUCGAAAAGUCCAAUUUGAACGGAAAUUCCAGCCCAAAGACCCAAAACCCUUUCUGAAGCCCAGAGGCAAUUUGCAAAUAACGUUAAAUCAGGGGGCAGAGAGACUCAGUGGCAAUUUCGUAAAUAAACUGAAAUAUACCCCAAGAUUGCACAGUGCCACCUCCCCCUACUUUAGACUAAAGUAAUUAUAAUUUUCUGACAGACAAAAUUCAUAUUACAUAAUUUUUCAUUUUUUUUCAAAUAUUAUAUAGAAAUGUAUAUGGCUACAACUUUUUAUCUAAUUAUUUGUUAUUUUUGGAUUAAUUUGCAAUUUUAGGUUUAUAUGUUACUGAUUUUGUUUGUCUAUCUCUAAAAUUCAUCUUCACUCCCUAACAAAAAAAAAACACUAUCUUAAUUUAAGAAUAACAGAUGUCGAAGAAAACAUACAAAAUCACAAUAAAACAAUUAGCAUUUAAAUAGGAAAAGAAGGAAAAGAAGGAUUCCGAUAUUUAUUUCAUUCCCUAAGAAAAGCUUCAAGGUAAAAAAUCACCGAAUUUUAAAGCUGAAUCCGACACAUUUCCUAGUGUUUUUAACUGUUAGACAUAAAACCUUAGAUCUCAAAACCAACAGUUUUCAUUCGUUCAAAAAGAAUAAACAAACAACCAAUACAAAACCAUGGACUUUAUUAUCUUCAAUGUUCAAAAACUCUCAAAACUUUUUAAGUUCGAAGCCCUUUUUUUUACUGAGGGAUCAUUUUAAAUUAAAAAAUUAUGCAAAGAAUCUUUGGCUAGUCCAAUCGAAUUGUAGACUGAACGAAUAACUAGAUUAAUGGAAAAAAUUGCAAAGCCAAUAUCCAAACUCAUAAUCUAUAUUUCAUCAAACUGUGAGCAUCAUCGUUCUCAGGUUUGAGAUUGGAAGAUGGUGAUGUUCGUAAACUUGUAGAGGAGAAGAGCUAACCAACGAGUGAGACAUUAUUUACACCAUGCAUCCAUUGACACAUGGACCCGUGAGGUGUACAAUGGUGUGCAAUGCAAGGAAAGAGACAAAGUAUGCAUACUAUUGAGAAAUUUUUCAGUAUGCUGAAAAUACAGCUCAGUACACCAAGUUUCAUAAUAUAAUUAGUUGAUUUUUUUUUUAAAUUUCCAAUCAAUUGUAUUAUUACACUUGAUGUAUCGAAAUGUGUUUCCGAUACACAGAAAAAUUUCUAGCAUACUACUUCCAUAGACCCUGCAACAAAUGGCAAAGCAGCAAAUACUCACCAAGAAAGAGGUCAAACUUGGUAAUUUACCCCAUGAAAGUAUGCCAUUUUCUCAGUUGGCAAAAAUUCUAGGAUAAUACUUUGUACUCACUAGAAUACUGAAUACCCUAUAUAAUCAUUUUUCAAUUUUUUUUUAUAUAAAAAAAGAGGGACAACUGGUGGCAAGUUAUGGUUAACCACCCCUUUUGGGCGUCGGGAAAAUUCACAGAGGCAUUUCAGCCUCCCCUUGGCCAUAAGUAUGGCUUCCACACCAGCAGCGGGUUUCGAACCCGAGACUUGCAGUUUUUAGUUUCAAUUUUGAGUUAAUAAUAUUUUAAUACAUAUUUUAUUAUUUUAAAAAAUAAUAGACAUAUUAUUUAAUUUGUCUUGAGCUUUAAAAACAAAGUAUCUUUUCAUUGGCGUGAACCGAAUGUGAUGUUUAUGGGUAGUUUGGUAACCAAAGUGGUGUUCUUUGAAAAAAAAAUUAAAACUAAAUUGUUUUAGUGAGAUGUCGAUAAAAACUAGGGUGAACCGAACGUACAUGCUUUUCGUUGUGAGAAAAAAAUUGUGUGGAGUUUAGUUGUCAUUAGGGAUGGGCAAUGGUUAUGGCGGGCGGGUAACCGCGGUUAUUUACCCAUAACCGUUCAUGCUCAUACCCGCAUAACCGUUUACCCGUUGGGUAAUUGCCUAAAUGGUUAUACACAUACCCAUAACCAUUUAUAAACGGUUAACCAUACCCAUAACCGCAUACCCAUUUAACCGUAACCGUUUAAUACCCGUUUACCCAUUUACGAUUUUUAACCCGUUUAUCUUUUUUUUUUUUUUUUACCAUUACCCAUUUUUCACCCGUCUACAUGUUUUUUAAGAACUUGAAAAUUUAAAAAAAAAUUGUCAUAAUUUUUUUUUUUUUACAAUUAAACACCGUUAUAGGUACAUUCAUCAUGCAUUUUCGUAUUUUAAUUUUUUAAAUCCUUAUACCAUUCCAAUAAUGGAAAUAAUUGCCGACAAAGACACAACGAGCACUCUUACGUCGGUUAUUUAUAUGCCAACGUAACGAGAGCAAUCCAUUUUCCAAUCUCUCCCCUAGAAAAAUAAAGAUUUUUAGGGAAUAGAACGAACCAAAAACACCGACAACAGGAAAUAUAUAACUUGUACAAUAACUAUGUGUAGAAAAUAACCCAAAGAUGUUGAACAAUAUUGAAGGAAGGGUAAAGAAAAUGUAGGGGGAUCAAUAGCCUUGUAAGAAUGUUCGAUUUCCAGUUUGUUCGAUCCAAGAUCAACAUAUAGCUACAGUAAACACAGAAACAAAUCUAAUGCAUGCAUACUGCAAGGGAAAUGAUUUCAGUGCGCUCCCAUUUUUUUUCUCACUUAAAUUUCUUUUGAUUUAUUCAAUUUAAGGAUAGAAAUACUGCACGGAUUAUCGUUUAUUACUUUUUAAUUAAUUAAAACAUCGCUAUAAAUCACAUUAUAGUCAAUAGCAUUGAUCUAAGUUUUGUCCAAUAGGGAACAUGGUUUGUGCUAAUUUUACAUAUAUAAAAUAAAUGGGUAAACGGUUACCCGUUUAUAACCGCGGUUAAUACCCAUAACCGCCCAUUUAAAUUUCGCAGGUAAACGGUUAUACCCAUAACCGUUUAUUUAUCUAAACGGUUACCCCAUAACCGUAACCGUUUAAUUUAAAUGGGCGGUUAACCGCGGUUACCCAUAACCAAUGGGUAUUUGCCCAUCCCUAAUUAUCAUUAAAUUUUGCCAAGUGACACUAGAACUCAGUUAAAACUCGACAUAUAGUAAGUUUUUAAAGUAUUGUCAACUAUUCUAAAUGUAUGAACAAUGAAUGAGCGAAGAAGAAGCUCUUAGAGAAAAAUAUGAGAGAAUAUGAAGUUUUGUAUAUAUUUUCAGAUGCCAUAAAUGGCAGUUUACAUUUGGUUUUAUAUAGAUGAAUUGAUAAGCUCAAUUACAAUAAUACCCUCCAACAAUUCUAACCAAUCUUACCCUUAUAACUACCUUAAGAUCAAGAGCGACUGAAGCAGAGGCUUGUGAGAGACAAGUUGAAACAGAAAGAAAAGUCGAGACGUUGUAGUUGAAGCAGACCUUUCGAUGAUGAUGGACACGUAACCAUCCCCUCACAAAAUCCUACACAGCCGGAGAUCCUACACAGUGAUAUUCCAGCCUAACAACCCAAAACCCUUUUUGAAGCCUAGUGGCAAUUUUGCAAAUAACGUUAAAUCGGGGGGCAGAGAGACUCAGUGGCAAUUUCGUAAAUAAACUGAAAUGUACCCCAAAAUUGCACAGUGCCACCUCCCCCUACUUUAAACUAAAGUAAUUAUAAUGCUAUGACAGACAAAUUCAUAUUACAUAAUUUUUCAUUUUUUUUCAAAAAUUCAUAUUACAUUUCCUAGUGUUUUUAACUGUUAGACAUAAAACCUUAGAUCUCAAAGUCAACAGUUUUCAUUCGUUCAAAAAGAAUAAACAAACAACCAGUACAAAACCAUGGACUUUAUUAUCUUCAAUGUUCAAAAACUCUCAAAACUUUUUAAGUUCGAAGCCCUCUUUUUACUGAGGGGUCCAAUUAAAUUAAAAAAUUAUGCAAAGAAUCUUUGGCAAGUCCAACCGAAUUGUAGACUGAACGAAUAACUAGAUUAAUGGAAAAAAUCGCAAAGCCAAUAUCCAAACUCAUAAUCUAUAUUUCAUCAAACUGUGAGCAUCAUCGUUCUCGGGUUUGAGAUUGGAAGAUGGUGAUGUUCGUAAACUUGUAGAGGAGAAGAGCUAACCAACGAGUGAGACAUUAUUUACACCAUGCAUCCAUUGACACAUGGACUCGUGAGGUGUACAAUGGUGUGCAGUGCAGGGAAAGAGACAAAGUAUGCAUACUAUUGAGAAAUUUUUCAGUAUGCUGAAAAUACAGCUUAGUACACCAAGUGUCAUAAUAUAAUUAGUUGAUUUUUUUUCUUUAAAUUUCCAAUCAAUUGUAUUAUUACACUUGAUGUAUCGAAAUGUGUUUCCGAUACACAGAAAAAUUUCUAGCAUACUACUUCCAUAGACCCUGCAACAAAUGGCAAAGCAGCAAAUACUCACCAAGAAAGAGGUCAAACUUGGUAAUUUACCCCAUGAAAGUAUGCCAUUUUCUCAGUUGGCAAAAAUUCUAGGAUAAUACUUUGUACUCACUAGAAUACUAAAUACCUUAUAUAAUCAUUUUUCAAUUUUUUUAAUAAAACAAGAGGAACAACUGGUGGCAAGUCAUGGUUAUCCACCCCUUUUGGGCGCCGGGAAGACUCACAGAGGCAUUUCAGCCUCCCCCUGGCCAUAAGUUUGGCUUCCACACCAGCAGCGGGUUUUGAACCCGAGACCUGCAGUUUUUAGUUUCAAUUUUGAGUUAAUAAUAUUUUAAUACAUAUUUUAUUAUUUUAAAAAAUAAUAGACAUAUGAUUUAAUUUGUCUUGAGCUUUAAAAACAAAGUAUCUUUUCAUUGGGGUGAACGGAAUAUGUUUAUGGGUAAUUUGGUAACAAAAGUGGUGUUCUUUUAAAAAAAUUAAAACGAAAUUUUUUUAGUGAGAUGUCAAUAAAAACUAGGGUGAACCGAACGUACAUGCUCUUCGUUGUGAGAAAAAAAUUGUUUGGAGUUCAGCUACCAUUUGAUUUUGCUAAGUGACACUAGAAUUCAGUUAAACUCGACACAUAGUAAGUUUUUAAAAUAUAAUAUCUUAUGACGCAACAUGAAGCAAUGAAAGGGUUACUAGCGUAAUCCCUUGUAGAACAAAGUUACUGUAAUCCACCAGUUUGAUAGAAAUCCCAAAGGAUAAUUUGAUUAAUUGAUUGAAAGAUGAAAAGAUGAUUACAAAGCCAUGGCUUAAAUAAGCCUUUUACAACCUUUUGGAAAUAACUAACAUAUAAUAAAGUCCUUAAAACCCCAAAAGACUCUAUUCAUUAGUAGGCUGCUGUUCUGAUUACUUUAUACAAAAGAUGGCUCAAGCCACUUUUGUGGGAAAAUUAUUUUAACAAGUUUUUGCGAAAAGUGGCUCAAGCCACUUUUAUGGGAAAUUAACACCUCUUUUAUGAUUGCGCCCUUUUGUCUUCCGACGUUCCAUCUCCUCCCCGAUCCAUUCCGCCAUUUGUUCUACAUCAGUCCCUUCCACUUCAGAAGAACUCGACCCCGAGUUAUGAUCAGGAUAAAGAACUUCAUCAUCAUUGAAUGUAUACAAAUCAGCAACGUUGAAAGUAUUGAAAUUCCCAUAGACUCCGGCAAAUCAAUAACAUAGGCAUUGUCAUUAAUUCGCUUGAUAACUUUGAAUGGACCAUACUUUCAUGGCUUUAACUUGCUGUAAGUUCCAACAGGGAAUCAUUCUCUUCUCAAGAACACCAUGAUAGAAUCUCCUUCCUUAAACACUUUACACGCCGAUGUUUGUCCACUGCUUACUUAUACUUAACAUUGGUUUGUUCAAGCCGUUGCUUGACCUCAUCACGAAUUGCCACCACAUCUUCAGCCAUAUUUUAUGCAGCAAUGCUAAGUCCAUGUCCCCUAGGUAGCUUCACCAAAUCCACCACGUGAUGAGGAGUGGCAGUGUAAACAAUGGAAAAUGGUGACUUACCCGUAGCACGAUGCAUGGCACUAUUAUAAGCAAACUUCAUCUGAGGCAGGACAUAGUCCCAUUGUUUUGGCUUUUCUCCACAAAUGUUUCGAACCAUGUUACCAAGAGUCCUAUUUGUGACCUCCGUUUGUCCAUCAGUUUGGGGAUGUGCAAUAGUACUUCGCUUCAAAGUAGUCCCAAACAUUCUCCAUAAUGUAAUCCAGAAAUGACUCAAGAACUUGGUGUCUCGAUCAGAAGUGGUGGACUUAGGUACCCCAUGCAAUCGAACAACCUCCUUGAAAAACAGUUUGGCUAUGUUGGAUGCAUCAGCGGUCUUUUUGCAAGCAAUGAAAUGAGCCAUUUUGGAGAACCUGUCAACCACCACGAAAACUGAAUCCAUUCCCCCUUGCAUUCGGGGUAGUUCGAGCACAAAAUCCAUAGCAAUGUCCUUCCAAAUGUCGUUAGGAACGGGUAAAGGCAUGUAAAGGCCCGUAUUUUGGACUUGCCUUUUUGAAACCUGACAAGUGUAACACUUCCUCACAAUGGCUCCAACAUCUCGUUUCAAUUGUGGCCAAAAGUACCUCUCUUCUAAACUUGCUAUAGUUUUAUCACGACCAAGAUGACCGCUUAGUCCUCCUCCAUGCAAAUCUCGAAUAAGCUUUUCUUGCAAGGAAGAGACAGGAACACAUAAUUGGUUACCUUUGAACAGAAAACCUUCGUUGAUAAAGUAAUCUGACAUAGGUUCAUGAUUAAUGCAUUUCUUCCAUAUUUCCUGAAAAUCAUCAUCGGUUGCAUACAACUCCUUUAAGCACUUGAAACCCACAACUUCUUGGGAAAGAGUGAUUAGCAAUGAUGCUCGUCUACUCAAGGCAUCGACAACCCGAUUUUGAGCUCUAGAUUUGUGCUUGAUAACAAAUGGAAAUUUUUGCAAGAACGUUACUCAUUUGAUAUGCAUUUUAUUAACAUGCUUCUGAUUGUUAAUAAACUUCAAGGCUUGAUGAUCCGUGAAUAGCACAAAUUCUUUCUGAAUGAGAUAAUGUUCCCAUUGUUUUAAAGCUCGAAUCACCACAUAAAACUCAUAAUCAUAAAUGCUCCAUUUUUGACGGGCUUCACUUAGCUUUUCAAAGAAAAAAGUUAUAGGUAUCUUCUCUUGGGAAAGGACAGCACCCACUCCCACUCCACUUGCAUCACAUUCGACUUCGAAUACUUUCUCAAAAUUUGGAAGAGCUAACACCGAAGCUGUACAAAGCUUCUCUUUGAUCAAAACAAAGUUUUGUUCUUGUUCAUCCCCAACGGAACUUGCCUUUCUUCACCCAUCCAAGUGAGUAUGGGGAGACAUGAGGUUUCGUUGGUAGCUGUAAAUGCUCCACCACUUUCUUGGCCACAAAAUUUUCACAACUUCCAUUGUCUACUAUCACUUUGCAAACUUUGCUGUUAAUGGAGCAAAGAGAACGAAAAAUGCAGUGUCGUUGCCCAUCCUCUUUUGGUGCUAAAAGAACUCGCUGCAACACCAAAGCGAGGUGAUCCAUUCCUUCUUCAGUUGUGAAUUCAACGUCUUCAUAGUCAUCAUCACCAACUUCUUCUUCCCUAUAAUCUUCUUCUUGGUUCCCUUCAGCAUCCAACAAGUUGGCUUGUCUCCAUUCAGGACAAACGUUAGAUCGAUGCCCAAUUUUGUUGCAACGAUAACAAAUGUCUCUUAUAGGCUUGGCAUACGGAUUCUCCCUUGGAGGUUGGUUUCUAUUCUGCCCCUUGUUAAAAGUUCUGCUACUCCCUUCAUUUGAUGCUCGAGAAGGAAAACUUGAAGGUUUCAAUCCUCCCGAACUUUGUGGCACAGAUUUUCCUUUGUCGGUGGACGAGACAACAGGGUUUUCAAAAUGCUCCGUCACGUUCCCCCGGAAAGAGGUUUGUCGCCUUUCUUUCUCUAUUAUCUCCGCCUUCAAGGCCAUGUUAAUGGCCUCUUGCAAACUCCACAGAUUUUGCAGCCCAAUCUUUUCUUGAAUGGAGGGUUUCAAUCCAUUCACGAACCUCGCAACCCUUUGAUUUUCUGUCUCCAUCAGAUUGUUUCGCUCCGUAAGUCUCAUGAAAUCAUCCGUAUAAUCAGUCACGUUUCUAUUGCCUUGGACGCAGCUGAUGUAUAUACGGUAUAAAAGAUGUUCAUAAUCCGCAGGUAAGAAACGAUCCAUCAAAAGUUGCUUCAUUUUUCUCCAAGUGCGGAUUCGAUUCUUUCCUUGCCUCUGCCGGGUAUUUUGUAAUUGAUCCCACCAAACAGCGACAGUUGCUUUGAGACGGAAGGCCACCAUCUUCACCAUUUUUGUCUCGGGAAGCUCCAUGACAUCAAAGAAUCUUUCUACUUCAACUAGCCAAUCCAGGAAAUCUUCGAUUUUAAGGUUUCCCGCAAAAAUUGGAAUGUCGGCCUUAAUCUGAAAGUCAUCAAAGUUAUUGUGGUUUUGAUGAUUUGGAUGGUUAGCCGGGUGUGGUUCCACAUCUUCAUCUUCGAACUCCGAUUCGCUGUCUUGAACACGGACCCUAGGAACUCUCAGAUUAUUGACUCCAGCAGUUAUAUGAUUAUUUGGACUAAUGGCUUGGACCAACAUCUCACGAAGUUCUCCAAUUUGAGUAGUCAAGUUUGUAAUCUGUUCAGCUUGAGCAUCCAAGUCUGCUCGAGUGAUAGGGGCAGGUUCACGAUCACGAUCACCCAUGGAUAGAUAGGGUAAACAACGAUGCCAAGACGGGAGAAACCCGCUUUGGUACCAAUUGAAGUAGCACGAAGCAAUGAAAGGGUUACCAGCGUAAUCCCUUGUAGAACAAAGUUACUGUAAUCCACCAGUUUGAUAGAAAUCCCAAAGGAUAAUUUGAUUAAUUGAUUGAAAGAUGAAAAGAUGAUUACAAAGCCAUGGCUUAAAUAAGCCUUUUACAACCUUUUGGAAAAACUCAAAAGACUUAGGAAUUUAAAAUGGAAAUAACUAACAUAUAAUAAAGCCCUUGAAACCCCAAAAGACUCUAUUCAUUAGUAGGCUGCUGUUCUGAUUACUUUCUGCAAAAGAUGGCUCAAGCCACUUUUGUGGGAAAAUUAUUUUAACAAGUUUCUGCAAAAAGCCACUUUUAUGGGAAAUUAACACCUCUUUUAUGAUUGCGCCCUUUUGUCUUCCGACGUUCCAUCUCCUCCUCGAUUAAUUCCGCCAUUUGUUCUACACCAUCUUAUCAUUCUUCUAUUUUAAAUUUUUUAUAAUUAUCUUUUUUACUAAUAAUAUACACCAUGAGAUUAAUCUAACCGUUCAUAUUUUUUUUCUCUCAUUUCUUCUAUUUUUCCUUCUCUCUGCCGUUGCAGUCUUCUUCCUAGUUUCUUUCCUUGCUUCAUUAAGGACACGAGGAAAAGAAAAGCCAAUUUCUCCAACUAUAAUGGAAUGAAAAGAAAGAAAAAAAAUCAAUUUCAGAAACAUAGUUAAAAUCAUCUUGAUCCCCAACUGCAUCUUAAUUGAGAAAAUCCACCCACGAUCUAAAUUUGAGGCUACUGCUCGUCAAGGUAGAAGAAAAGAAAAGGAAAACAAACUUACAUACAAUUUAAUAUAUUUUUGUGAUAUUCAAUUUUGUCCUUAGUCAAAGUAGAUACUGUAAUUCAUUUUUAUUGAUGAAAUAUUAGCAUUGUGGAUGCUUUUUGUUUACAUUCAUAUUCUUAUGAAGAAGGGAAAGAAACAUACAUGCACAACCAUUCAUAUUUGCUGAACACGAGAAAAACUUUGUAGUAGGAUUUAAGUGCUAUAUUUUAUAUUUUGAUUUCAUUUUUUUCUAAUUUUCCUGUGUAAUAUACUACAUGAUUUUCAAGACUAUGCAAAGCUCUAAUUAAAUUUAUAUCUGAUAUGAUUUUCAUGGUGUAUAUGAAUUAGUAGUAGAUGAUCCUAAUUAAUUUAUAGUUAAUUAGUAGAAAAGAUAAUUAUGAAAAAUUAAAAUAGAAGAAUGAUAAAAUAGUAUUAUAUUUAUAAUAGAAUAAUGAUAAAAAAUGGAUGUAGCGCCACUCAGCAAAGUCCAGUAAUAAGCUGAGCUCCACACAAGUUUUUUUGACUUGUUUUACUGACAUUACUAAUAUAUAGAAAAAGUUGUCAAGAAAGAGAAGCAAUGUUAAAAUGAAAUUUUUAUGAAAAAAGGAUUGGACUAAGUUUAUUUUAACCAAAAACAAUAACUUUAUUUAAUGAAAAAACUUAAUUUUAAUGAAAAAAAAUUUAAAUUUUAAUCAAAAUGACAAAAGAACUCAAAUUUUAAUGAAAAAGACAUAAUUUUAAUAUUAAAAAAACUUACGUACCUCCGCGUGUCCUCAGAAAUAAUGUUUAUGAAACUUACUACAUUGUUUAUGAAACUAAACGGUACUACACUGUUUAUGAAACUUAUUAUACUGUUUAUGAAACUUAACGGUAUUACACUAUUUAUGAAAUGUAACAGUACUGCUGUGUAUAUAUGUAUGUUAAUUCUUUUGUCUUAAGUAGGCACAAGUGAAAUCUACAUACAUUACUUUUACUUAUAUUAUUUAUUAUAUACAUGAAUAUACACCUUAUGAGAUUAUAGUACCAAACGUGUUUGUGUUAUCUUGCUCUGUCAAAGGCCUAAAAAUUGUACCAAACGUGUUUGUGUUAUCUUGCUCUGUCAAAGGCCUAAAAAUUGGUGUCAUUGUUGUUACAGUUAGCUAAUUCAUACAUAAUAUAAUAUAUAUGUGUAUUUUCAUGUACUUUUUCUUAUUUAGUUAUAUUUCAAGGGGUGAAGAGAGGGGAUUGGGGGGACGCGAUAGGCACACAUAUUUAUAUUUUAUGUUUUUUUCAUCAUUAAAUAAAAUUAUUAGUUGAUUUUUAAUUAAAAUGCAAAAUUUUGAAACUAUUUUCAUUAAAUUUCAUAUGUUAUAGAAUGCGCAGAGUUUACAAUCUAAUUCCUCGAAACAUAACAACUAACCUAUAAUUUGUAAAACCAGGCACUGAGCAAACCCCGUUUAUUUUUAUUCAAAUUUUCAGUAACUACAAACAAGAAACAAAAUAAAAAAGAAUGAAAACUAUCGCACAAAUGAGUAGUGACCUUAAUCUGCUGCACAUGGUACAAACAACGGAGAUCAUACAUCAUGAAGAUUCAACUUCCUCAACGUUUGCCGUUCGCCUUUGUCUUAAAGGAGGGCUUGAGUAUUCCAUGCCGGUAUCUGAUGACGAGAUAUUGGAUGGCACUGAGGACUCCGGGAAUGAGCUUGUUACUGGAUUUGGCUGAGGUGUUUCAUUUCUAUAACUCUGAGAAGAAAGAGAACUAGCCGCCUUUGUGCUUCCGGUGUUUGAUUCCCCUGAGCUUCUUCUGCGAGUUUUCUUAGAAGAUUCAUGACGGUUGGAAGAAACCUUGAUGAGAUAGACAGUAUUCCGGACAGCUGGUAAAAACAAAUAACGGAAACUAGAAUUAGAAACUGCUUCAAUCAAGAAAAUUAGAAUUUGAUGAGAAACUGUAACCAAAAAGGCCAGCCCCGAGUGAGGUCUCUAUCAAAUUAGGACCACCAGCUGUUGUAUUCCACGUUCAAUCCCAAUUUUACACUCUACUAAGUGAGACAUAAAAAACUCAGUUUUAUACUUACAGCGCCAUGCUGGAACUGUCCUGUAAUGUCCAUCUGUACCCAUAAGGCCUUUGAAAGUAAAAAUCCAACAAAUAGAACCAUGAGGUAGAGAGGGUUCCUGUUUCAUUUGAAGAAAAAAGGCACAGUGAUUAACAGAUGUGCAAGACAUUAGCGUCUGGACACUUAAAAAUGUCCAAAACCUAAAACUCGCAAAAGGAAACAAAAAAGAACGAAAGUAAUUACUUUAAAAGCAUCAUAAAUUCGUUAAAACCAAGAAUGAUCAUCGCCAUUAUAGCCCAUGGAGGAGGUAACCAGUUGUUACUCCGCUUGUGAGCCUCCUGAAAGUACAAAAGCAAACAACAUCAUGAUCGAGCAGAGCUAUAAGCAUAAAGAUAGGGAGCUCGUUACAAAAAUAGUAAUAGGAUGCUAGGAUUUUUCUUUGUAGAAAAAACAAGAAUACACUGAACUUGAUUAUAAGUCGGUCCUAUCUGACUAAACCAUUCCCAAGUCAAGAAUCAGCGCGAUUUUCAAUAUGAAAUGUUUCCAUAUGUUUGGUUUCACUACUAAACUAAAUCCAAUUUACACAAGAACUCCCACCCAAAAUGUCAUCCGAGGACAAUGCAUGCGUCCUAUUUCCACGUUCCUCCCACCAGUUGUUCAUUACUUUUGCAGGAACAUGUUCCAAUAUUCAUAUUUUCAUAACCAAAUCUUUAAAGAACAUUUUAUAAAAGACAAAAUUCAUUUAUUCGAGAUGCAACUCUGAUUAAACGAUAUAAAAACAAUUACACUACUAAAGUUAAACUUAAGUAUACCUGUGCCGAAAUAGCUUGAGUGACGAUAUAUUCGGUCUCUGCUUUGAACUGCUUUGACAAUGACUUGCACUGUACUGGGGUAAUUAAGGUAUCCUUUGAAGAAACAUAGUUUAGAGUUAACCUUAAUAAGAAGGGAGUCUCAUCAUAGAAAAAUUUUACAUAAAAACCAAACCCAUAAAUAAAUGGUACCUCUUGCCAAGAGCUUGAGGCAAGAGGAUCUGUAGGAGGUCCUAGUUUCCUAUUUUGUGAAGAUGAAACAGUAACAGUCCUGUCCACCAGAGAAGAAACUAGGACAUUUUCAAUAUUAUCUGGCUUCUCAUCCAAGCGAAUGGCAGCCAUGGUCAACAAAAGCUUCAGAGACUGCAAGAAAGAGAUGAUCAAACAACUAAAACAUCACUUUAAGUCAGAAAGAUAGAUAACAUGUACUUCCACAAAAGUUCCCAAUGAUUACCGCAGUUCGUGCAUCCUUGGUAAUACUUCUAAUGUCUUCGUUCCCAGUUCAAACCCUAGGCAUUGAAUCGCUGUCAUAAUUGAAGACUACGGCAAACCUGAGAAAUGACAACAGAAGUGAUCAGCAACCAAAAUAACAAGGUGAAAAGGAAAAGAAGAUUUUUAAAAAGUUCCUACCGAUCCUUCAUGUGGAUCAUAAUUUUCCCAGCCUCUUCUCUUGCUUUUUUCUCCACCAAUUUCUUGCAUAAUCCUUCAAAUGCUGCUUCAUUUUGACAACCGUUUCAUUGUCCAACUCAAAAUUGGCAACUGCAGUUGAGAACUCCGAUACUGCAACUUUGGUCUCACGAUUAAGUAGUUUUCGUAUCGAAGCCCAGGUGUCUUUCGCACCAGUUUCCAGUAGAGCCUCUACAGGACCGCUUAAAGACGAAGAAAGUUUUUUUCUGAAAAAUAAUGGGUAUUUGCAUUAAGAAAUUUGAAUAACCAAGACUUUGAUACAUUAUCAGAGCACUACCUCAUAUGUGGAGAUAAAUGACCACAUACCUCAUCGUGGACCAACUGUUUGAAUUUCUGGUUGGCAAUCUCUUCACACCGAACCGUAGCAACCAUAACCUAAUUAAAUUACAGUAUGUGUAUUAUAUAUUAUAUGCAUACGAGAAGUGAAGUCCUUGUUCUCUUUGAUUACUUUCCAAAUCUGUUGUGCACUAAAGGAAAAUCCUGACGCAGGGACAACACCCCUUCUAUCGCCAGCAAGCCCUCGUGGAGAAAUAGAAUGGAAAAAGCCAUCUCUCUUUCUUUCUCUUUUGUGAUGCGUCCAUCUCAGCCUCCCCAAGCAACUCGACGGCGUUGCUGCAGGCCAUGGCGAACAGUUCCACUCGAAAAUCCGUCCAAUUUGAGCGAGAGUCAAAGAACUCGGGGAAGAAUCGGACCUCGUAGUUUUGGAUGUGGCUCGCCAGAUGAGCCAUGGUUUCCAGCGAAAACGGGCACCAAAAAUUUUGGUCUCGGAUCUUCGACCUGGAUCCCCAUCAACAAAAUCGAACAACACAGAUUCAAGGUAAUGUAUAUGUGUGUCUGAGGGUUUGAAAUUGGGGGAAGGGCGGCUGAGCCAUGUGAAAUUCGGUGAGAUGACAUAGAGUCGGGAGCGAUGAUGAGUUUUCGGUUGUUUUGGGGAGAUGUUGCUUUAUUUAGUUAUAGGGAAUUUUAUUGUUGGUGCGUGGUGAAGGAAGGAGGGAGGAACAAACAUGGAAUACUUAUGGAAGUUGUAGAAGUACUUACUACUCUCAACCUUAUUGUUACGAAAGCAUACAUAUCUUCGGAUAGUGGCUGGUUCAUGGAUGGUAAAAAUCCUUUUAUUACGGACUUUUUUAUCGCUGUAAAAAUUGUCCUUUUUUGUUCGAGCUAGAAACUGAUUAUGUGAUUUGGUUUUCAAAUCGGUUUUAACUGCCGCUGAUCAAGAUGGAAACAAGGUUACAGAUGAGGUUUUGAAUUAUAUUCUAAACCUAAUCCAAUACUAACUGUGUUUGCCAUUUUUUUUUCUUGCUUUUGCAGCGAAUGAUGUAAAAAUACUUUAUUCAAAAGGUUACAUUUGUUUGGUCUACUGUGGUUACAUUUUUCAUUUGAUUAAGCUUUGUCAUUGUGUAUAUAUUGGUUGUUCUGUUUCUUAAUAUUGGUGUAGGAAUUUGAUACUUAAAUGCUUCUUCAGGUAUGAAUGGCUCCCAAAACAAAUAAAACACUGUAACUUCAUUAACUGCCGGAAUCAAUCUCAACAUAAAGGAAAGUUUCUGUAAGCAUGCUCUAUUCCUAGGGAGAUUUCAGUUUAAUAGAAUUUUUUGUUUAUGUGGGUUUUGAAUUUUAUCAUAAGAUUUUUUCUUAAUUGGUAUUCAAAAGCGAAUAAAAUAUGUGUUCCUUGGGUCUGACUUUUUAGUUGUUUUGUUAUGAAAUUGUUAAUUGAUUGCAUAUUGUUAAUUUGAUACAUUUUUUUUUUAUGUUAGCUCCAAUUUCAUGCUCUAAGAAAGUUAUGGAUUCAUUUUUUGUAGCAAAUAUUAAAGUAUCAAUAUCCAAAAGAGUUAAAUUAGUUUCAAUUCUUAAAUUAUCAGUACACAGAAGAAAGAUCUAUUAGUUUAAUUUAAAUACGUUUGGAAAGUUAGAAAUAGCUCUAUUAGUUUCAAUUUGUACACUUUUUGAAAUUUAGAGAUCUACUGAGCAUGUUGAAAAUUUGAAGUUGUACUUUUGCGUACUCCAAACUGUGACCUAUAGUUCCCUUAAUAUUUUCAUCCAUUUGAAUUGAUACAAAAUAACAUACUGAAUCCAUGAUCAAUCCCAUUACUAUGUUUAUGUCAAUAUUCUUUCACUUUCUUACACUGAAUUUAACUUUGCUAACACUGGUAAGCUUCCCUUUCAAAAAAAAUUUCUCUUCAGUAAAUACGAUUUAUCAAUGCUUAAUUUGGGUUUGGAGUUGUUUUCUUCUCAUGGUAAAAAUUGGUGUGUCCCAUCCAGAACAAUUAGUGGCCAUUUUUGAGGUUUAUUCCAGUAAAGGGUUUAAGGUUUUUUAUAAUGUCAUAUCGUGUUAGGAUUUUUGAAAGUUGGUUUAUUUUGAAAUUAAAGAUUUUAUGCAUCAUUCAGUUGGUGAAGGACACUUUGAAAUCAAUUUUUUCCGCAGCUGAGACAAUUGAUUAGUUGAUAAGAAAGCGACAUUUUCAUUCUAUUUGUAAGAUUUAGCCAAAAGUAUUUUUUAACAACUAUGAUAUAGUUUGAUUUCAAUUCAGAAGUACUUAUUUUGUUAAAUUUAACCUCGAAUAUGUUAGUAAAUCUUUAUACUUUAUGUGCAAAUACAUAUAUAAUCCUGUAUGUAUAAUUUUUAUAAUGUUGCUAAACAUUUUUACUUUCAUCUUUUUGUCCGUAGAGGGUGAAAACCGCGCCGUUCACAGAUGCAAAACAGGGAACAUCUCCUACUUCAUAUGAGAAGUAGAGAUUAGUUCGAUUGUGAUUGUUUUUCUGAUUUGGUUAAAUUCGAAAUUAGUUGGCUUGCGUCUAAUUUAGUUGUUUGCAUUGGUCACACAUGUAGUCGUUUUCUAACUUAGUUCAUCAAAAUAUGUCAUACAAUUUCCACUCCCGCAAUAACGCGUGAAUCACAUUUCCCGCAGCAAUGCGUGGGCUACACUUUCUAGUUAUUACUUUAGUCUAAAGAAAGCAUUGCAAUUGGCACAAUGAACAGUGUUUGUACUCGGAUUUCAGUUUAAUUACAACCAUGCCAUUGCUUUAAUGAGUGGGCUUUGUGGAAGGUUCGGGUUCGGGUUUAUUUUUUUGGGUUUGGGCAAAUGGGCUGCUAAAUCUCUACAAAGAAAACAUAUAAUGUAAAACAAAUAUUUAAAAAAAAAAUACAAACCCUAAACUUAAUCAUUCAAAAUAAUAGAAAAAGUAAAGUAGAAAACCCAACCCCCGAAUCCCAUUCCCUGCUAGCAACCUUUCCCUUCCCAUUUUGCCCGACACCCCGCCCAGCUUAGUUCUCUCUCUCUCUCUUUUUCCCUAUUCAUGACGGCACCUGAGAUUUGAUGAUGACAUAUUUUACUUAUUUUAAAUUCUAUUUUAAAAUAAGCUGGGGUGUCAGGUAAAUUCUAUUUUAAAAUAGACUAGAUCUGGCCUUUUACUAACUUCUUUUAAUUUUUGAUUUUUUUAAUUCUAUUUUACUUAUGUUUUUCAUAGUUAUCUUACCCUUUGAAAUGACAUAUUUACCCUUAAUUUUGAAGGCAAUUUGGAUGGAACUCGAAAAGCUUAACAGUAGGGGCCAAAUUGACCACUUAAACAUAGUUCGGGGGUCAAUUGGCUGAAAAAAUAGUUCAAGAGGAAAUUGACACUGACGUCAUAGGUGUUAAAUGACAGUUUACCUUGCGGUAGGUAAGGAGUGAGGUGGAUGCGGUGACUCGUCCACAGAGCAUCUGCAGCUUGCAGGCAGAGAGAAGAGGAGAGAUGAAAGAGUCGUGGGUGAGAGAAGAGGGGAGUGGGAAGAGUCGUGCGUUGCAAACGGGAUGGAAGGAAAGAUGGGAGGGGUAGGAUGAGCGAAUCAAGCUGGAAGCCAUUUCCGCAACAAUUAAUGGGGAAGGCAUGGUUGUGUGCAGUUCGUGGGGUUGGCCGGUCAGGAAGGGGUUACUAAGGGAGGUACGGGAGAGUUUGAUUUCUCUGUUUCCUUCCUUUAUUUCUCUGUUUCGUCUACUAUAUCCCCCAGCCAUAAAGCACAAAAGCAGUUCUACUCAACACACACACACCCAGACACCUCCACAACUGGCCACCCCACCUCCAUUUCAGCUCAGCUUGUAAUUACAAGUGACCAUGCACUCAAAUUGGAGUUUGUUCCAGAGUGGAUUGCCAUUGUCGGCAGUGGUUACAUAGGUCUUGAGUUCAGUGACGUAUAUACAGCACUUGGGAGUGAGGUAUUUCCUUUCUUUCUAUUUUCAUUUAUCUUCUGAGUUUUUACAAUAGUUCUAUGUGAAAUUUGCUAAUUUUAUGGGUCAAUCAAUAACUUCUCUCACGUUUUAUUUAUUUUAAUUUUUCAAUACUGUUUUUUUACUAUCUAGGAGUUCUUAUCUCACAAGGCAUCCUAGAUUAAUCCUAAGUAUUUUGUAGGUUACUUUCAUUGAAGCUUUAGAUCAGCUUGUGCCUGGUUUUGAUCCUGAGAUUGGAAAGUUAGCCCAUAGGGUUCUAAUUAAUCCACGGAAGAUUGAUUGUCAAACUGGGGUAUUCGCAUCCAAGGUAAGCUGAUGAUUGACGUUUUUAUUAAGUGUUUUCAGGAUUUCUGUUUCAGUUUUUUCACCUUCUUUGGUCUCUUAUAGAUCACACUAGCCAAGGAUGGGAAACAAGUCACCAUUGAACUAAUUGAUGCAAAGACCAAGGAACCAAAAGAAACUCUUGAGGUAAAUAACUGGAUCUGUCGCUAAUUUAUAGAUUAUAACCUGCUGUGAUUCUGUUCUUGAAGUCAGGCAUAUGUUUAGACUUCCAAAUUGAUGACUUAGUAGCCUGAGUGCUUGCCUUAAAAUUACUAUAGGCAUAAGUGUUACAGUUCAUAAGUAUGAAAGGUUUUUCAAGGCAUUUGUGAUAGACCAUUGUACUCUUUAUCUUCUCCUAGGUAGAUGCAUCACUAAUUGCAACUGGAAGAGCGCCAUUCACACAAGGUCUUGGAUUGGAGAAUGUAUGACAUCUCGAUUAGCAUUUAUUUAAUUUUGGAGUCUAUAUAAAGUUAUUCAGCAAAUUCAUGUGAUUAAAGUCUGAAAAAAUACAGUGAAAAAAAUGCAACUUUUUAUAUGGCAAAUGUGCUUAAAGAUUUGACAUGUUAUUGAAUAUUAGCCAUGUAGUUUGAAUUAGAUAUGUGAUUGAAUAUUAGGUAUUUAGUUUGAAUUGAUUUGGACGUGUGGUUUAUUUCAUUGGAAUUUGGAUAUGUGCUAAUUUGAAGAACAUGACAAAAUCUGAAGAACCUUAUUCAGUAUUUGGCCAUUAGAUAAAACAUCAACAUAAUUUCCCUUGCUUUCACUGAUUCUCUGUGAUUACAGUCUGGAAAAAUACAGUGAAAAAGAUGCGAACUUUUUAUGGAGUUGACAAUUUUCGGCUUAGUUUUGGAUCAAAAAGAAUUAGAGUGUUACUUAUUAAGUUGAGUUAACAAAUUUGCAGCAUGCAACAGAGCACAUAGGAGAAGUUUUCAAACGAGUUAAGAAGAUCCAGUUGAAAAGAGCAUACAAGAUAGAGAACUGGUAUGCUGCUUUGUCUUUCUGUUGGAUUUUGAUGUUUAUGUUCUGCUGCUAAGUAGACUUUAUAGUGCCAUGUUAUUGAAUAUUAGCCAUGUAGUUUGGAUAUGUGAUUAAAUAUUAAGUAUUUAGUUUGAAUUGAUUUGGAUAUGUGGUUUAUUGAAUUGGAAUUUGAAUAUGUGCUAAUUUGAAUUGGAUAUGUUGAGUUAGAGAUGUGCUACUUUGAAUUGGAUAGGUUGAAUUGGAGUAUGCUAUAUUGAUAAAUGAUGCACUGAUGGUUACAGAACACACACGCACACACUCACCAGUCAUCACAUACUUUGGGGCUGCAUAACCAUAGGUUCCCAUGACUCGCAUCGAAACAUGAGUUUUAUCACCCUCAGGACCAUCUUUUACAAGUUCGAAAUCCGAAGGCUUGGCAUUGUAAUCCUAAAAUAACACAUUCCAUUUUCAGAAGAGAAUAGGAGUAGGGAAAGAAAUGUAGUUGAUGCUCAGUUAUUGUCACUCACUGCAUCUAAUAGGAUAUUAGAUGUUUUGAAGUCACGGUAUAUGACUGGGUUUUGAACUUCUUCAUGAAGAAAGACAAGACCCUUUGCAGCACCGAGUGCAAUUCUCAUUCUAAUAGACCAGUUCAGUUCCGAUCUAAAGGCGAGGUGUUGUUUCCAUCACUGGUCAGCGGACACACGUUCUGUGGAUCAGUUUGCAUGCACGUCGUUUGUUCUUGAUUCCAUCUUUCAAUUACAUCAUUAUGAUGUCUAUAGUUGAAUAAGUUUUGUAUAGUUAUUGACCGAAAAAAAAAGAUAAUUUUUCUGGUAUAUUUAGAACAAAGCCAAACUUUUAGUAAGCAGAGAAGCCACAUGUGUUGAAGUUGAGUGGUUUCAGCUUCUCCCUUUGGGGCUUUUGCACAAUCAAAUUUUAUAUUUUUGUGUCUAUUGUCAUUUUUUGCAGCUCUAAUACUGUGUAUUGGUAUGGUUAAUUCUUUGAGGUGCAGGUUACCCUAUAGACGUUACAAUUUAGGUCUUUAGUUGUUUGAUAGAAAAUCGCUUUGAUUCAUCGUUUCUUAUCGGAUAGUUUGAUCGUUAGGCUCUUAUUUCAGAUCGUAACUCAUUUUGGUUGCAAGUUUGUUCUGUAAUUUUUUUUUCCUCUGCUAUUAAUAGCUUACCACAUGUGGUAGCAGAGUGAUUGUGUUGGUAGCUUAUGUAUACAAGUGAAUUCAGAUGACACAAUGAGUUUGAUAUUCAAAAAAAAAAAUGUCUGUUAGUUCAGCUUUUGAAUCUUUAAAAACUAUCGAAUCAAUUUGAAUGUGUAAUUUUAUGUUUAUUGUUAGGUAAAUUGCUGUUUUUUUCGCUGAUAAAAUGUAUAGAGUUUGGCUGUGUAAAUGUGUAUAGUUUUAUACGUUUCGCUCGGUAGACAAUUUGAUAAUGGCUGAAGUGCAUUCUUUAAUGAAAUGUGUUUUCUUUCCUCGAUCGUGAAUGCCUUUUUGGUAUUUUGCAGAUCGAAACAAAGUGAAAGCUUUUGACCAUGAAUUUUGCAACCACUGCCUUGCUGCUUUGGUAAAGUCUCAACUUCUUUAUAAUAUCAAUUAAUUUUGGCUGUAAUGUUAGGCCUCGUUUGUUUGACCUCCUUAGCUAGGACUGGACUAGCUAGGACUAAUAACCCAUGUUUGGUGCAAGCCGGGAUUGAGUUUAGUGGGAUUAAGUCGGACUCGUGCCGACUAAAUCCUUCCUUAGCUGGGCUUAGCGAGAGCCCCCGAAAAGGAGGGGAUUGCUAGUCCUGUUUCCCUGUCUUCCCUCUCACGCCGCGUCCUCGUGCUCAUCGUGCACGACUGCACCAUCUCAGACGACGACUCGUCUUCCUCCACCCACCCCUUGCUGUCUGCAACUCCAAUCCCUGCCCAUGCCCAUACCUAGCCCCACCCACCCGUGUCGUCUGCAACUUCAAUCCUCACCCAUGGAAGAAUAAUUGAAGUUGGACGGGAAAAGAGGUAAAGGGAAGAGAGAGAGGGAUUUGAACGGAAAAACAAAGGGAAGAGAGAGGAAGCUGAACAUGAAAGCUCACCAUGGCUGCCAUUAAAUUGGCGAUGCUAAGCUUGAGAGGGAGGGGUUGGGGUUUUUUGGGGGAAGCCGGUGGUACUGCAAAAAAGAGGGAGAAAAGGCAGAAAAAAGGGGCGGAGACAAAAAUGAAUCAUGGAAGAAGAUGAUUCUGCAAAUGAUAAAAUAAUAAUAAAAAAAUUAGUAGAUUAGAUUAAAUUAAUAAUAAAAUAUUGUAUAUAUAGAUUUAAUAAUAUAAUAUUAGAGUCAUGUUUCUUAAUCCGGCACUGCAUCAAACGCUUCACUAAAUCAGUCCAGCUUAGUCUAGUUUAAGCCAGUCCAGCUUAGUCCCUAAAGCUAGUCCAGUCCGAGAUAGUCCGGUGCAACAAACGCACCCUUAGGGUAUUGAGUUGAAUGCAUAUGCUACAUGGCAUAGGUCUAACAUGAUUAGAACUUUAAUAUCAUGAUGUAUGAUAGUGGUUUAUUGAAUUGGAAUUUGGAUAUGUGCUAAUUUGAAUUGGAUAUGUUGAGUUAGAGAUGUGCUACUUUGAAUUGGAUAGGUUGAAUUGGAGUGUGCUAUAUUGAUAUAUGAUGAACUGAUGGUUACAGAACACACACGCACGCACUCACCAGUCAUCACAUACUUUUGGGCUGCAUAACCAUAGGUUCCCAUGAUUGCCGUCGAAACAUGAGUUUUAUCACCCUCAGGACCAUCUUUCGCAAGUUAAAAAUCCGAAAGCUUGGCAUUGUAAUCCUAAAAUAACACAUUCCAUUUUCAGAAGAGAAUAGGAGUAGGGAAAGAAAUGUAGUUGAUGCUCAGUUAUUGUCAUUCACUGCAUCUAAUAGGAUAUUAGAUGUUUUGAAGUCACGGUAUAUGACUGGGUUUUGAACUUCUUCAUGAAGAAAGGCAAGACCCUUUGCAGCACCGAGUGCAAUUCUCAUUCUAAUAGAUCACGGAAGAGGCAGGGACCCUAUUACCAAAGAUCAAUAGGCAACCAUAAAAUAAAAGGGUAGCCCUUUGGAUUUUGACUUUUAACGUGAUUCAAUAUUGGUUAGCAAGAUAUCAUGGAACCAAGAUAUAGUUAGCUGGCUAAUUGAAAUCCUAAUUAAGUAAGACAUUUGUACUUGCCUUGGUUAGACAACAUUAAGAUUACAUGGUGAUUUGGUGUAUUCCUCCAAGUACUAUAAUGGGUGGGAUUGGAGGAACCCAAUUCACUAUAUUAAGGGUGUCCCUACUUUCACAAAAUGCACGUUCCAUUCUGGUUCGCCGAUAUUUUCUUAUUGAUUUUAUGUUUCCCAGCUUAAAGUUUAGUAAGAAACACUUGACUUAACAAAUGGUAAGUCCACUUGGUGGACGGCUUAUAAGUAUACCUUAAUGCGCAGGCAAAAAUACUCUCAUUUUUGAUAAAAAUUGUGAACAAUAUAAAUCACGACUUUUAAUUGGGUUUACGAAAUUAAAGUCAUACAAAGGAUCUACACGUACAAACUUUAUAUAUAUCUCAAAAGAAAAUAAAAGGUAUUCAUUCCACAGACAGUCUACAUAAAACAUUCCCCCAGGGCAUUAAAGCAAUUAGGAGCUAGGACAGUAAUCUUGCAGAAUGCAAGUCCACUGCUAGCUAGACAUAUUUCAUGCAUUAAUAGCCCUGUAGUUCUUUCUGAUUAACUCUGUUGUAAUCUAUGUGUGUUGCUGAUGAAAGAAGAUCAAGGUUUAGCCAUCAUCCUUAAUGGUCCUUGAAACUCAGAUCCGUGUCGAUGGGUACUUUCACUUGCUAUGCAUACGGUGAUAAUUGUGGCUGAUGCUGUUAUGAUUCAUCAUCAACAACAACAACAACAACAACAACAACAAAGCCUUUUCCCACUAAGUGGGGUCGGCUAUAUGAAUCCUAGAACGCCAUUGCGCUCGGUUUUGUGUCAUGUCCUCCGUUAGAUCCAAGUACUCAAGUCUUUUCUUAGGGUCUCUUCCAAAGUUUUCCUAGGUCUUCCUCUACCCCUUCGGCCCUGAACCUCUGUCCCGUAGUCACAUUUUUGAACCGGAGCGUCAAUAGGCCUUCUUUGCACAUGUCCAAACCACCGGAACCGAUUUUCUCUCAUAUUUCCUUCAAUUUUGGCUACUCCUACUUUACCUCGGAUAUCCUCAUUCCCAAUCUUAUCCUUUCUCGUGUGCCCAUACAUCCCACAAAGCAUCCUCAUCUCCGCUACACCCAUUUUGUGUACGUGUUGAUGCUUCACCGCCCAACAUUCUGUGCCAUACAACAUCGCUGGCCUUAUUGCCGUCUUAUAAAAUUUUCCCUUGAGCUUCAGUGGCCUACGACGGUCACACAACACGCCGGAUGCACUCUUACACUUCAUCCAUCCAGCUUGUAUUCUAUGGUUGAGAUCUCCAUCUAAUUAUCCGUUCUCUUGCAAGAUAGAUCCUAGGUAGCAAAAACGGUCACUUUUUGUGAUCUUCGCUAGAUUGCUCCGGUCAUUAGUGUGGAUAAGUAUAUAAAUGGAUAGGGAUAGGAAAGCAAACACAAGAUGUACGUGGUUCACCCAGAUUGGCUACGUCCACGGAAUAGAGGAGUUCUCAUUAAUUGUGAAGGGUUUACACAAGUACAUAGGUUCAAGCUCUCCUUUAGUGAGUACAAGUGAAUGAUUUAGUACAAAUGACAUUAGGAAAUAUUGUGGGAGAAUGAUCUCGUAACCACGAAACUUCUAAGUACCGGAGUGUGGUAUCGUCUUGACUUUCCUUAUCUGUCUCAUAGGUAGAUGUGGCAUCUUCUCUGGAAGUACUCUUCCUCCAUCUAGGGGUGGUAUCUGUAACUGGUGGAGAUGCACAAGGUAAUGUAUCAAUGUCACUUGAAGCUUACUUGUAGUUUCAAGCUUGGUCAAGCGCGAUACAAACCAUGUAGUAGGAGCCCCCAAGUCGCCGAGCUAGGGGAUCUGCUGAAAGAGGUGACAGACAAGGUAAGCAAUCAGAGCUCCGGCUGAUUGUUCACAUUCUCCCUAUCUUGCAGGCAGCAUGAAGGAUAAAGAGAAGAAAAAUGAGAAGAGAUGAUAUGGGAUACUUUUGCUUUUGAAGAAGUAACUUUCCACAAGCUUAUUCUUGAACUGGGCUGGAAGGUUUUCUGGUUUCCUCCAGAGUAUAAGGCCGACUGAAGAAUUUGAGGGUCAAAACAAGUCCAUCAAAUCUAGAGUACGUUCGACCCUGCUGAUAUGGGAUACUUUUGCUUUUGACAGAGUAGUGGAUGUAUCGGCACGUGUGCUGUUACGCUUGUCUCCACAUGUUUCAUUUUAUCCUUCUCACUUGCCCUAUCUGUUCCUCAGGCAGAUGCGGUAUCUUCCCUGGGAGCAUAAGAUGUUGAAGAUGAGUACUCGAGAGCAAUGCCAGGUAAGUAAUCAGGUAAGGGGUUCCAGGCAGUCAGUUCCUGGCUGGAAGCUUGAUUCCAAGUGCUGACUGAUUGCUCUCUUUCUUUUUGUCUUGCAGGUAAGAACAAGGCCAAAGGAAAAGACAGGGAAAAAGCAUGAUAUGGGAUACUCUUGCUUUUAACCCUGAUGAUAUGAGAUAUUCUUGCUCUAGUAUAGCUUGUUUACAGAGGUAUUAUCGGGGGGAAAGAAAGCUGAAUAUUUCGAAAGGCUUCGUUGGGAGUGCCCUCUCAAAUAAGAGGAAGGGUUGAGUAUUUUUGCAGGUCUGCCUGUCCGUUGGGGAUGGAGGUCGACAUAUAUAGGAGUCUCCCUAACAUCAAGUAAUAAUGCUAUUCCUUUACCCUGCUUGGUCAUAGCACGGUAGUGGGAGCUGCCAGCUUCACAAGUUUUAACUCUGUUAGAGCACUUUGAAAAAGUGGUCUGUGGUAUCUGGAAAGCUGAUGUUGCGUGUGAAGAUUACAGACAAGCUUUAUCCAAGGAGAUCCAGCUCUUGAAGUUGGGAAAGUGGUGCCUCUUCGGUUUUCGAACAAGCAAUCCUGUCGGGGAUCUGGCUCUCGAGAUUCGGAGAACGAUGCCUCUUCGAUUUUGAGAAAGCAAUCCUGCCGGGGGUCUGGCUCUCGAGAUUCGGAGAGCGGUGUCUUCGAUUUUUGAGAAAGUAAUCAUGUUGGGAGUCUGGCUCUCGAGAUUCGGAGGGCGGUGCCUCUUCGAUUUUGGAGCAAGCAAUCUUGUUGGGAGUGUUUUCUCGAAUGUGAGUAAAGGUUGGGCAUGUUUGCUAGUCUAUCUUGCCACGAAGCACAGAGGUUGACACACAGGGACUUUCCAAUUAUCCAACAGUGGUACUGUUCCUUUACCCUCUCUUCGAUUUUUGAGAAAGUAAUCAUGUUAGGAGUCUGGCUCUCGAGAUUCGGAGGGCGGUGCCUCUUCGAUUUUGGAGCAAGCAAUCUUGUUGGGGAUGUUUUCUCGAAUGUGAGUAAAGGUUGGGCAUGUUUGCUAGUCUAUCUUGCCACGAAGCACAGAGGUUGACACACAGGGACUUUCCAAUUAUCCAGCAGUGGUACUGUUCAUUUACCCUCUCUUCGAUUUUUGAGAAAGUAAUCAUGUUGGGAGUCUGGCUCUCGAGAUUCGGAGGGCGGUGACUCUUCGAUUUUGGAGCAAGCAAUCUUGUUGAGAGUGUUUUCUCGAAUGUGAGUAAAGGUUGGGCAUGUUUGCUAGUCUAUCUUGCCACGAAGCACAGAGGUUGACACACAGGGACUUUCCAAUUAUCCAACAGUGGUACUGUUCCUUUACCCUCUCUUCGAUUUUUGAGAAAGUAAUCAUGUUAGGAGUCUGGCUCUCGAGAUUCGGAGGGCGGUGCCUCUUCGAUUUUGGAGCAAGCAAUCUUGUUGGGGAUGUUUUCUCGAAUGUGAGUAAAGGUUGGGCAUGUUUGCUAGUCUAUCUUGCCACGAAGCACAGAGGUUGACACACAGGGACUUUCCAAUUAUCCAGCAGUGGUACUGUUCAUUUACCCUCUCUUCGAUUUUUGAGAAAGUAAUCAUGUUGGGAGUCUGGCUCUCGAGAUUCGGAGGGCGGUGCCUCUUCGAUUUUGGAGCAAGCAAUCUUGUUGGGAGUGUUUUCUCGAAUGUGAGUAAAGGUUGGGCAUGUUUGCUAGUCUACCUUGCCACAAAACACAGAGGUUGACACACUGGGACUUUCCAAUUAUCCAGCAGUGGUACUGUUCCUUUACCCUUGUGGGUAAUAAUAUGGUAGCUAGACCUUCAAAAUUUAUGUGUCUAAACUUUGUUAAUGUUGUUUCUUUGCUAUUCUUUUACCCUUCUUGGUCAGAGCGAUGUAGUGAGAGCUACAAGCUUCACGUGUCUCAACUUUGUCAGAGAACUUUGGCAAAGUUAUAUGUGGUACCCAUGAGCUACUGUUGCGUGUGGGAAGUGGGUGAUUGAACAGUACGAUUCAUGUGCUUUCUACUUCGCCAGAAAUCUUCGACAGAAUGCCCAUAAUUUCCGCAAAGCUGAGUGUGCGUGUGACAGGUGCUGACAAGGCUGGAAAAGUAGGUGCCUCUUCGAUUUCUGAGAUCGGCCCUCGUGGUCUCUGAGCAGCCCAUCUUUUGAGAAAGCAAACCUCUUCGAUUUCUGAGAUCGGCCUUCGUGGUCUUUGAGCAGCCCAGCUUUUGAGAAAACAAACGCCUCUUCGAUUUCUGAGAUCGACCCUCGUGGUCUCUGAGCAACCCAGCUUUUGAGAAAGCAAACGCCUCUUCGAUUUCUGAGCAGGCGCCUCUUCGAUUUCUGAAGCUUCGUCGAGUGCAGAUUUUUAUAGGGGCUGACAUUAAGUUCCAAAGCACACUUGAAUAUCCACCAGUAGAAGCUCUAUUCUUGCACUUCGAAGAUCUUGAUUUGUCCGACCUCUUCUCUCUUCAACACCCUUUGAAAAUGUCUGGCCCCUCCGACCGUCGUUUUGACUUGAACCUUGUUGAAGAGGCAGCCCCGCCUUCUCCAGACAACAUAUGGCGCCCAUCCUUCGUCUCCCCUACUGGUCCUCUUACCGUUGGGGAUUCCGUGAUGAAGAAUGAUAUGACCGCUGCGGUAGUGGCCAGGAACCUUCUCACUCCCAAAGAUAACAGACUACUUUCCAAACGGUCUGAUGAGUUGGCUGUUAAGGAUUCUCUGGCUCUUCAGUGUUCAGUGUGCAGGUUCUGUGUCUAAUAUGGCCCAACGCCUAUUUGCUCGAACCCGCCAAGUUGAAUCAUUGGCGGCUGAAGUGAUGAGUCUCAAACAGAAGAUUAGAGGGCUCAAGCAUGAGAAUAAACAGUUGCACCGGCUCGCACAUGACUAUGCUACAAACAUGAAGAGGAAGCUUGACCAGAUGAAGGAAUCUGAUGGUCAGGUUUUACUUGAUCAUCAGAGAUUUGUGGGUUUGUUCCAAAGGCAUUUAUUGCCUUCGUCUUCUGGGGCUGUACCGCGUAAUGAAGCUCCAAAUGAUCAACCUCUGAUGCCUCCUCCUCCUUUUAGGGUUCUGUCCAGUACUGAGGCUCCGAAUGAUCCCCCUCCGGUGCCUUCUCUUUCUGGGGCUCUACCGACUACUGAGACUUCUCCUAAGCAACCUUUGUGAAGGCUCCCUCUUGUUUUUUAUUUUGACUCAAGUAUAUGUACAUAUUUGUAACUUAUCGGGGAUAUCAAUAAAUAAGCUUUCUUUCAUUUCAACGUAUUGUGUUAAAUACCCCAAAGUCUUCUUCGCUAAGUUCUUUGAAUUUUCUUUUGUUGAAGCUUGUAUGUUGAAGCUUUGUGAGUGGAGCAUGUAGGUUGAGGUAGUGUUCCCUUAAUUUCCCGAGUGUGGAAAACUUCUCGGUUGGAGACUUGGAAAAUCCAAGUCACUGAGUGGGAUCGGCUAUAUGAAUCUUAGAACGCCAUUGUGUUCUGUCCUGUGUCAUGUCCUCCGUCAGAUCCAAGUACUCUAAGUCUUUUCUUAGGGUCUCUUCCAAAGUUUUCCUAGGUCUUCCUCUACCCCUUCGGCCCUGAACCUCUGUCCCAUAGUCGCAUCUUAUAAUCGAAGCGUCAGUAGGCCUUCUUUGCACAUGUCCAAACCACCGUAACCGAUUUUCUCUCAUCUUUCCUUCAAUUUCGGCUACUCCUACUUUACCCCGGAUAUCCUCAUUCCUAAUCUUAUCCUUUCUUGUGUGCCCACACAUCCAACGAAGCAUCCUCAUCUCCGCUACACCCAUUUUGUGUACGUGUUGAUGCUUCACCGCCCAACAUUCUGUGCCAUACAGCAUCGCCGGCCUUAUUGCCGUCCUAUAAAAUUUUCCCUUGAGCUUCAGUGGCAUACGGCGGUCACACAACACGCCGGAUGCACUCUUCCACUUCAUCCAUCCAGCUUGUAUUCUAUGGUUAAGAUCUCCAUCUAAUUCUCCGUUCUUUUGCAAGAUAGAUCCUAGGUAACGAAAACGGUCGCUCUUUGGUAUUUCUUGAUCUCCGAUCCUCACCCCUAACUCGUUUUGGCCUCCAUUUGCACUGAACUUGCACUCCAUAUAUCUGUCUUUGAUCGGCUUAGGCGAAGACCUUUAGAUUCCAACACUUCUCUCCAAAGGUUAAGCUUUGCAUUUACCCCUUCCUGAGUUUCAUCUAUCAACACUAUAUCGUCUGCGAAAAGCAUACACCAAGGGAUAUCAUCUUGAAUAUGUCCUGUUAACUCAUCCAUUACCAACGCGCUGUUAUGAUUCAUAACUAGGCAAUUUCCUCUCAUAUUUCCUUUGGUUGUGUAAUGAUUUCCUUUUGUCCUAACUUCACUUGCCAUCAUAUGUUCAGGAUUGGGUUACCCUUGGUAGAGCACAGUUAAACUUUGGGGAGCCUGAUAGUGCCAUUCAAAGCUUCGACAGAGCCUUAGCCAUCAAGGUAUUGUUUCACCUUUCAAGAAAUUAUAAUCUGUAGUUCUCAAAGCUUCUUACGCUAUUUUCUGAUGCGUCUUUGAGCCACUGACCUUAGGUUGGAGUCUGAUACUGCAAUAUUAUGUGCUAAUCUAAUAAACCUGCAACUUAUUCAUCUUCGUCAUGAGUAAUUUUUGGUUUUUUCAUUGAAAUAGGGAUUUAGUGGAUGAUUGUUUUCAACACAUAUUAGUUAAAAUGAGUUAAGUAUUGGGUGCCAAUCCCAUGUCUGCAAAUCACAGUACCCUAAGGAAAAAACAUUGUCUGCACGAUCUGUAAUACAUGUUCAAGCAAGAAUCUUUUCCCAAACUAAAAAGCUUACAUUUCAAAACGUGUAAAAGAUGUGCCACUAUCAUCUUACGGUCUUUAUUUUUUGUUUUGUUGGGUGAUGCAGUUUGAUCGAAUCAGUUUGAAUUGAAUAAUCCUUGAAGUGACAAGAAGGAACUGACUAAGCAAGUAAUAAUUCUUAAUUACUUACAUGUUUUCAUUUUAAUUUAUGAUUUGAUUGGCCCUUUCUUAUAUAAAUUUCGAGCUCCUUAAUUGUUGGACCAUGGAUAUGUUAUGAGUGCUGAUUAGCGUAUGUGUGUAAAUAUAGUGUAUGGGUGUUAAGUACUUCAGAUGUUAUUGACGAUCUCAGAAGAGAAGGGGCAUCCCCUUCUUCUGCUUUUUCUUUUCUCGCUUUCUAUCCUACAGUUGUUUCGUCUUCGCUCAUUGCAAAUGUAUUUGUAUUUUGAAUUUAUUUUAUCCAUAUUACUGAAAAGAUGUUGUGAUCUCUUAGAGUUCAAUGGAAGCACUUGAAUCGGUUGUGUGAAUUUUAUGAUAAAUUAUGCAGUUUUGGGUUUGAAUCUUUGUUUGGUGAUUGGAGAUUGAUUUCUCUGUUUCUUCGUUGCCGAUUCAGUUGCUCCAAUGGCUUCAUCAGAGAAGGUUGUGUCUGCUGUUGGUAUGCUUGCUGUUGUUUCUCACGUUGUUAAUUGUUUUUUAAUUUUGUUGAUUUGAUUAACGGUACAAGCAUAUCUUUAUUUAUGUUUGUAUCUUGAUUUGCUUAACAGUUCAAGCAUAUCUUUUUUGUGUUUAUUAUUUCCUUGGUGUUUAGUUUUAUUUGAAUUUCUUAAUUUGUUCAAAGGAUGCUUUAGGUAGUAUCCACUUUCUAUGUUUUUUAUUAACUGCUAAAAUAGGUGUCUGCCGCACAUGACAUAUAUUUUGCCAUCUUAAAGGGCAAAAUAUGUGUGAACUGCAUGUUGCUUUGGUUUCUUCUGUUUUUUAUGGAAACAGAAAAUUUUUGGCGACCACGUGUUUGUGAUCAAGAACGUUAAGUUUCGUUCUACUAAUUGUACAAUGUCUUUACAUGUCAGCUCAGUUGAAUGUAUAUAAAAGCCAAGCUGCUUAUCUUAUCGACCUCAUUUACUCAUGUAUCCUCUGUUUGUUCAUAAUUGUGUUGAAUUUAUUCAACUUAAAUGUGUUUUAUUCAUCUGAUUAUGCCUGAAACACUGGUUCCCACAGCAACGCGCGGGCAUAUAUUCUAGUCUAUUCUAAAACCGCAGCAACGCACGGGCGUAUAUUCUAGUCUAUUCUAAAAUUGAGGAAGGAUUUACUGUUCGUUCAGCUACAGUUAAAUUUUUGCCCCUCAAUUUCACCUUAUUUACAAGAAACCCAUCAGAUUUGGGCUGGGUUGGAAGGGUAAUUAUUAGAACUAAGGAGGUAAUUUUGUCCAUAGGGUGGGACGGAUUGGCCCUUGAUUUCACCUUAUUUACAAGAAACCCAUCAGAUUUGGGCUGGGUUGGGAAGGUAAUUCUUAAAAGUUAGGAGGGUAAUUUUGUCUCUGAAUAAUUUCAAAAUAUUUACGGUUUUACCAGGAUGCUGCUUUCCCGAGUGGAUUUCUUCCUCUCUCAUCAGCUUUCUCUCUUUUCAUUUCAUCUUCGCUCAAGUUUCUCUCAACCCUAACCGUCCCUCAUAUUUGUCUCUUCACUAAUCAUUUAGAUGAACUCCUCUCGCACUGCCUUUUUUUUUGCUGUCUACUGUUUCCGUCUUUGUCUCGACGAUCAUCUGCUGCCCUUUUUGUUACUGGAAUAGUCUUCUGCUCCUACGAAUGUCUUUGGUUUGAAACCCUUAGUUGGCUACAAGUUUUUGCCGUUUUCGAUUUCAUCGAAAUUCAUUUUUUUCCUCGCGUGAUCUAGCAUCUUCUGGUGAUUUUAAGGUCUUUUUCAGUGUGCCUAAUUUAAUUUCUUUUUUGUGGUUUUCGAUUUGCAGGUGGAUGUUUGAUUUUUUUUUUCCUGUGAUUUUGGGGGGUUAUGUCUCUGUGCUAUGAUCUUGCGUGUGGUUGUCUAAUUUGUUUCGGUUUUUGCUUUCAGGAAACGAUGCUAGCGAGGAAUCGCCGCCACCAACAGAACUUGUAGACUUGGACUAUCAGAUUCUCACUCAACCCGAGUGGUGCCGGUGUUGAGAAGCUCACCAAGAGCAGGCCCCGUACCACCGCUGCCAUCUCCAUUGUUUGGGGAAAAUCCAUCGGAGAAGAUAAGGACUCCAUCUUCUCCAAAUUAUCAUUGUUUAUUUAAUAUUUUAUUAUUGUAUCUUUAAUAAUUCCUUACCACUACAUUCAUUAUUUAAAUGUUAGAGUGAAACUUUAAUCAUUCAUGGCAGGGUACAAAUACAGAGUGUAAUAUACACCCACUAUCUCACUGUCUGGAAAACUCACUAAGAAGAUAAGAGCAUGUGUAUCUUCUUUACAGCUCAUUGUUUAAUAUUUUAUUAUUAUGUUGACCUAAAACAUAUCACAUCACAUACCAUUUUAUUAUUUAAUCCAUUAGACACAUGGGUAGGCGGAUCACAUUCACCUAAAACCCUCUUUAAUCCGUUCACCCACUACAUCAUUUUGAGUAUUAUUGUAUUAUUGCAACGACAAUUUACAAGAAUAAGCAUUACUAGAUGUACACCCACUACAAGAAUAAGCAUUUCUGAUUAAAUUAUUAUUUUUGAUAAACCCAUUUAGAAUCUGAUCUGGGUUUUGUCUGGAUUCCAGGGUAAAAACUGUGAAACUUAAAGUUGGUUUGAUCUGGGUUUUCCAAGUUCUGCAUGGAACUGUUGGCUGCUGCUGCUCCGCUCCCACAAUGCUCAUUUUUUACACAUUGCUUCGUUGAUCCGAUCCCCGCUCCAAUCUGCCAAACAGGUUCGUCCCCCCUCCCAAAUCCCUAAUUCGUAUUGUUUAUUUUUGUCCGAAUUUUGAUCUGAUUUUUUUUUCCAUAUUUCCAGUAAAUCAUUUGUUAUUCCUUCUCAUCUCUCUCAAGUGCUUUCACUGAAAUUUUAAGUUCUUGGAUCGUAUUUUGUUUCUGAUUUUUGUUUGCGUUCAGUGUGAUUUUGUGUGAAAGAAUCAAAGAUGUUGGGAAUUUUAAGGCAAAAAGUGGGAGCUGGAAGCUCAUCAGCUAUGGUACACCCUCUACUUCUGCAAUUUAUGAACUUUCAUUAUAUAAAACACUUGAUUAAUUUAUUAUUAUGUGAUUUACUGCCUAAUCUUUGUGUUGGUUCAGAUUUUGGGGCAGAGGAUCCGCCCUGCCACAUCGGCAAUGAGGGGUUGCGCAUCUUUGGCGAAAGAGGUAAUCUGACGCCUACCAUCAUCUAAUCUUUGGCAUUUAUAAUCCAUGCGAUUGCUUAACAAAAAAUUUGUGGUUUUUGCUUUUUUAGAAGAUUAAUUUUUGUAUAAAAUAUAAAUCUUAUAAACAUUCUACCCAUUGUUUAGUUUAACGAAUUUUGUAGUGUUAGUUCUGCACCAUUCCAAUUUGCCUUUGAUUGGAUAAAUAAUAGCAUUGUUUAGCUAAUUUGCAAAUUUCCUCAUAUUCCUCAGCAUUUUUAGUCAAAAAUUUUAGAUUUUACAGAUUUUUCCAGUUCAGGAUGAUAAAAUUUAGGGCUUUGAUUUGUUGAUGUGAUUUCCACGUACUCUGAAUUCAAAUAGAAAUGCAAGGAUAUAUUAGAUGUGUGAGUAAAUUUUCAGUCUUCAUAUAUUUGUUUAACCCUUAACGAUACGUGAAUUAUUGAUUGAUAAUUUGAUAAUAUGUAUGCUAUUAUUGAUUAAGAAAAAUUAAUUCGUUAAUUUGUAGGGCUUGGUUGUUUUGGCAUGUUGAUGUUAUAAAGCUCAUUUUUAUAGUUAGGUUGAAGAUCAUGUUAGUAGAUUUUUUUUUUGGUUGGUUCGGAUCGGGCAAUUCCGGAGGCCCUGCCAUCGAGGUUAGUCUGAAGCAAUUCCUAUCUUAUUACUUAUUACAUGUCAAAAUCUGCUUCAAAUUUGUAAUUUAAUAUAAUUGGGCUUUAGAAAAAAAUUCAUGAUUUUGUCUAAUCCAAUUGAGUGAUUAGAAAAAUUUUCAUCAAAUUUCUGGGUUCCUGGGGGGUUCUGAAUCUUGAUGUUGAGAGAGCUUGGUUGCUUUAAUUGCUAAUGAAAUUAGCUUCUAAACAUUCAUAAUUUGCUUUUUUAUUUUCGUUCUAUAUUUUCUUUGAGUUCAGACCCUGCGUAAAGCGGAAGCCUUGUGCACUGGGUACGACCUUUUUAUUUUCUUUGAGUUCAGAUAUAUUUGUUUUUUUUUUUUUUGUGAUAUAUUGCCGAUGCCAAAAUAUCAUAUUUACAAGGACAAAGAUAGCAAGGUUCUAAAUCAAAUUUUUAUCCUGGUUCUACUGUUGGGUUCACUAUCAAUAAAAGGCACAUGAAAUAUGGUAUUGAUUUUAGAGCCUUUGAUUUCUCAGAUUGUUUUCAUAUAUCGAAUGUCAUCUGAAUUUAAUUGUAGUUAAUUUGUCAAAGUUUGUUGUUGUUUAGCUUUUUCAAAUGGCAGCCUUAGUAUUUGCCCGGUAUUUUUUGUGAAUUCCAAACUUUGCUUAUAAUUGUAGGUACGUAAAAGCUGCCAAUUGGAUUUGUUCCCCAGAUGAUAAUGGCAUACCUAUAUAAUGGUUGUUCUUUUGCUUUGAUGUAGAAGUAAGAAAAUUGUUUUGCCCCUUAUGUAUCCUGCUUCUUUUUGUCCGUGUGUUCUUUGUUCAAAGGUUGGUUGGUUGUUAAACUUGCUGCUGUAGAAGAGUUAAUUUCUGGUAGGCAGAUGAUUAUAGUGUUGUUCCUAUUAUGCAUAAGGUCGUGGUAAUAAUAUUGUGAGAUUUUAUGUCUGCAUAAAUCCUGUAGUGGUUUUGAUAAUCAGAAAGUAAUCUCUCAACUUCUUUGUGAUUAUAGUUGCUUUGAUACUGUCAUAGGGACUUUUAUCAUACUUACAAAUUGAUUUUGAUAUAUCCAUUCGUAGGUUUAAAAUUUUUGUCAAACCCAAAAGUUACCUUGCUGGGUAUAUUUAAAAAGUAGUUUAAUUAAUCAAUAUUACUGUGGUAGUUUUCAAGUAUUUGUUAAUUGGAAUUAAUCCUUUUGGUUUUAUUUUUAAAAUUACAUAUCUGUGGUAAGGAGAGAUACCUAUUGAAGUUUUGAAUUUCCAUUAAAUCUGAUCAUCAGGUGCUUAAAGAUUUGAAUUUUUAAAGUGGUUCCACAAAACCUACGAAGUGGUUCCACAAAAAUCUGCAAAGUAGACGUUAUGUUGCUUGCAGCAGUAGAUUGUUUAGGGUUUAGGGUUUAAUUAAAAAAGAUAUACAAAAAAAAAAACUAGGUAAUGAGGCACUGAAUUGGGUUUGAGAGUUUUGAUAUUAUGAGAGAGGUAGGGAGUAUAUAGGGAGAGAGGGAGGUAGGUGAUUUGCAGAAAUGGAGGGUGAGAGAAAAAGGGGAGAAAAGGGGUAGUACAUUCUAUUUUGAUUUUAUAAUUUUGGGGGUUUUGUGUUUAAACUUUUUUAGUACUUUUUUGUAGAUAUAGCCUACAAAUGUUGAUCCAAAGGUUGGACAUAAUCAUUACUUUAAAGUUAAUUAUAUUAUCUAAAGUUGAUUUGAAUGUGAUGAUGAUGUCAAUGUAUAUGUAAAGCAGAAGUUUUACUCUUUCGUGUUGUUUAUCUCAAUCUAGCUCUGGUAUUUUGAGGGUCUCCGAGAAUACAAUAUACUGUGACUCGGGUCUCAUAGCUUUCUUGCUAUAUGAUAUCAUAUAAGUAAAUGCUAGAAUGCUAAAUUUUAACCAAGACCAUACUCACAAGCAAAAUACAAAUACAAAAGUUCAUUUUAAAAUGAAGGUUGUGAUUUAUCGAAAGAUGUUCCGUAAACAUAGGAAUUAUGGAUAUGUAGGCAUAUGUAUUUUAGCAUUAUGUGAUGAAUAGGUUUAUUUUUUCUUAAAUUAUUUUUCUUUGGGUAUUGCAUGUCAUGAUCACCACAGUGAUGUUUGAUGUUCUUCUUCAGGUGCUUCUUGGGGAUGUUGGAGCUGGGAAAUCGAGUCUGGUGUUGUGCUUUGUAAAAUAACAAUUUGUUGAAUUUCAGGUUUGUUCUAUAUCUUUCAAAGGACGCAUUUUCUUUUUUAUCCAUACCUGUACUUUUAUAGUAUGUUAUUACCAGAAUCAAUUGCCACCCUUAGUUGGUGGUAUUAUCUUUACAACACAUUCAAAGCAGCGAAUAAAAUCGCACUUGCUAUUUGUUCUGUCAACUGGACUACUAAAGUAGAACUAUAGAAAUAUCUGGUGAAAGCAAUGAAGAAAUCACUAUGAUUGAUCUGCAAAGAAGCUCUAAUAAGUUACAAGAGAGUAGCAAUGUAAAUUGAACUGUUUAUUUUGGGGAUCAAUUCACCUAUCUCUUGCUUUUUCUUUCAUUUGGAGAUAAUUGUGUAAAUGUGUUGUUUUGUGAGCGUUACUAAUGUAAAACGUGUGUUAUCUGAAUUGCUACAUUUAAGAAUGUGAUUGUAUUCCUGUAGCAUUUUCAGUUAAUUUUGCUAUGAAUAUUAUUCAUGGUUUGAAAACCCGCAGCAAAGCGCGAGCAUUCCUACUAGUGAUAUCGAUUCUGGAAGCAUGCUAAAACAAGGCCGUUUGGCCGCAAUUCACAAGAAUUGCUCUGCCUCCGCCUCCGCCCCGCCCUCGCCCCCCCUCGGCCGCCGCCGUCGUCGCUGCCCGAGCAGUUCAAAUUCAAACAACAACCCCAAUUAGGCUUCCACAACAUCAACAACCCUUGCGUUGAUCUGUACUUUCAUUGUGCCAAGGGACAUGACGCCAUGUCGAUCGUGGAAAUCCACGAAACUCUGAUGAACCAAGUGCUUCCCUCGUCCUGGUCGCAUAAUCCUCUAACCACCCUCAAACUCAUUUGCGCGACGAUGGUGGAAAACGCAACCAAGACGAAGCUUUCUUCACGGCGGCUGUUUGGCUCCACCAGAACCACCCCAAAACCCUUGCCUACAAUCUCGUGCCAAUUUCCAGCUCCUUCGGACAUAUCCUAGACCUUCCCUGCAUUCUCUCGCAGGUUCUACGGGGUGAAGCUUACUUGAAAUUUACUAGGAGGACGAGGGAGGAGGCGGAUUCAAACGGAAUGGUGAAGGUCAAGGAAAAGGACGCCAAGUCAAAGGCAAGUGAAUUGUUGUUGAGGAGGAAUGCGAUCCGCACGGCCAACAAGGCGGCUCAGAGAUACGAGCGCGACGCUGAUUACCGCUUCUUGCACGAUCGUGUUUCAGAUAUUUUCGCCCAGUGCCUCAAGUCUGAUAAAAAAUUUCAUCAUCACAAGGACCAUGACCAUGACCAUCAUGAUGAUUACUGCUUGGAGAUUACCUAAGCGGCUACCUUUUUGCCUACCAUUGCUGAUCAUCUUAUGUUGUUCGUAAACAUUGCAAGGAAGGUUUUCCUGCCAGAAUCAUGCCUCCGAGAAAGGGAUGGUAGUGUUUGUUGUAUUGACCGACUGAGGAAGAAGGUUUUGUUGCCCUUGAGAAAAACUAUGGCGCCAGAGGGUUGGGAACCUGCCUAUCGGUGGGGUUAUAGAGCAGAGUACAAGCUAGAGCAUCUGGCUGCAGCCAAUGAGAUUGAUCCUGGCAAUGCUGCACUGCUUCCGCAUGACAUAUUAAGCUAUAUCAAGUAUCCUGAGCUCGAGUAAGAGGCUGAUGUUAAGUGGAAGAAAAUGGUGGAGGUCUACUCAAAGCAGAGGAAGCUGAAGAAUUGGCUGGCUGUGUGAUGUCGACAACACCUUGUCGGCGGGUUUGGCUUUGGGGCUUUUGUUGCCACAGUUGAGUGACGAGCCAUAGAAGGGAAAAGUGGUCACCUAAAGCAAACCCUCAGCUGCAUUCGAUACAAGGCGAGGUUCUUAAUUCGAGGGCCGAAUAUAUGCAGACUUUGAUCAAAAGCCAGGACUGGACGACUGAUUUUGGGAAGGUGUUCGCUGUGAUUCUAGAAAAGGCAAUGAAUGCCGAAUUUGAAGCCAGAUAAGAUGGUCAAUAAGGUCCUUGCCUUGACCACAUACAAACACUCCUUGACAGGCAGCAAC